GGCCAUACUUAAAGCCGAAAGGCUUUAUUUCUCUUCCUCUCAUGUGCUGGCUUGAUUAAGAUAGCAAUCUCUUUUUUUUUUUUUUUUUUUUUUUUUUUUUUUUUUUUUUUUUUUUUUUUUUUUUUUUUUUUUUUUUUUUUUUUUUUUUUUUUUUUUUUUUUUUUUUUUUUUUUUUUUUUUUUUUUUUUUUUUUUUUUUUUAAAUGUGCAUCAAUUAAUUAAUUGGCUUCCAAAAAAAAUCUUCAGUUAUUUCCUUUCCCAAUUCCUUCAAGCAUAUUUCUUCCUAAAUGCUCCGAUUUAAUUCUUCUUUAAUCCCAGAAUAUACCUAAAAUAACAAAAUAAAAUAAACUAAGAUAAAAAUUAACACAAUAAAAAACAUAAUUUACUAAAUUAAAAAUUAACUAAAAUAAUUAGAAUAUUUAAGACCAAAACAAGAAAAAGAUGGAGAAAUUAAUAGCAAAAUAUAUGAAAAGUAUGCACUUAUCAAUUGGGCAGGGGAAAGAUAAGAAAAGAGAACUUUAAUUCUUAUCAUGUGUUCUUUAUAUUAGCACUUACAUCAAAAUUUAUUUCGAAAUACUUGCGGAGAAAUAUCUGAAUUAACCAUGACCUUUCACUUAUACAAAAUGUGUUAGAUUUUUUUAAUUUGAAAUAAAUGAGAUCAUUCAUUAACAACUUUCAUAAAGAACGAAAACAUGAGAUAAAUUUACUUGAUUUGUGGAUGUAAAUUUAAAAGGUUUCCAUGAAUCUCAGCACGUGUAAAAUAAUAGCAACAUCAAUUUAAGCUCAUAAGAUGUUCUAUAAAAUGUUGAAAAUGAUUGAAUCUGUAAUAUUGAGUGUUUGGAAGGCGAGAAAAUAAAGGAAAAAGGAGAAGGAAGUAAAGAGAAGAAGAAAGAAGAUUAUGGAAUUAUAUAUUUGAAUCAAUAUUAUUUAACAGAGUACAAUUACAAUAUUUAUACUAGUUGUACCAGCUUUCUCAUUUUUUUACAAGCUCAAUAUAUGUGUAUAACAGAUAACAACAUUCUUUAAUCAAGUGUGAGUCACCCCAUUGUAACCUUGCAUGCUCCGUAAGCACAUUUAAUCACACAUAUUAUCAUCCCCUCUCAAGCUAAACGGUUCUGGAAGAAUAUUAACUUGCUUCCCAAAUAAUGAAACUAACCAAAAGUUAGUGCCUUAGUCAGAACAUCUGCUGUCUGGUUUUCACUUGGAACAAAAUAUACUACAAUCUUUUUAGCAUCAACUUUUUCUCAGAUAAAAUGAAUAUAUAAUUCAACAAGCUUGGUUUAGCAUGACACACAUGAUUAGAUUGUCACACCACUUGAGACAAAGUGAUAAGUCUGAAAUGCAGCUCAUCAAGUAGAGAUUGAAUCCACAUAACUUCAGAAGUAGGAUGAGCUAAAGCCUUAUACCUAGCCUUUGUACUAGACCUGGAAAAGAUUGACUGUUUCUUAGAAGACCAGGAAACAAGAUUUGGUCCUAGAUAAACAGCAUAACCUGCUACUGACUUCCUAUCAUCUCUAUCAUAAGCCUAAUUUGAAUCACUAAAAUAAUUUAUCUGCAAACUACUGGUGUGAUAGAACUUCAGCCCAAAAUAAAUUGUUCCUUUUAAGUAUCUUACUAGCCUUUUACAAGCUUCUCAAUGAUCUACUGUUGGUGAAGCUAAAAACUGACUUAGUUUGUUAAUUGAGAAUGCUAUUUCAGGUCUAGUAAGAGUCACAUACUGCAAAGCACCAACAAUGCUCCUAUAUUGUGAAGCAUUAGAAAUGACAGCUUUAGAGUUCUUGGUAAGAGAAUGACCAGUAGACAUUGGUGUAGAUACAAGACUGCUAUAAGCCAUUUUAUGUUUAACCAAAAUAUCUGCAAUGUACUUAGCUUGAGAAAUGUGUAAGCCAUUUGAUGUCUUAUUAACAUCUAUCCCAAGAAAAUAAUUCAGCUCUCCCAAAUCUUUCAAGGCAAAAGUAUGAUGCAUAUUACUGAUCAGUUGUUAAACUGAUCCAGUAAUGAUUAUGUCAUCUACACAAACCAAGACUAAGAGUACAUGACCAAUCUUCCAUGUAUAAAACAAAGAAUUAUUUGAUUUGGAAUUAUGGAAACUCUAUUGUGAAACUAGGGUGGCCUUCAGCUAAUCAAACCAUGCUCUUAGAGCUUGUUUCGAGCCACAGAGAGCCUUCUUGAGUUUACAAAUAUGAUGGGGUUUUGAUUGAUCAACAAAACCUUCAGGUUGUGCUAUAUAUACAUCUUCAACUAAGACACCAUUGAGAAAAGUAUUAUUAACAUCUACUUGAUGAAUAGCCUAUUUAUGCAUGACUGCAACACUGAGAACAACUUUGACAGUGGAAGCCUUAACAACUGGAUUAAAUGUUUUUGUAUAAUCUAUCCCAUGAGUUUGAUAGACCUAUCAGGCUUGUAUUUAACUCUGAAAACCCAUUUGUUGUUUACUAUUUUGACUGGUUGUGUAGGCAAGACCAAUUCCUAAGUAUUAUUGGCUUGAAGAGCUUGAAAUUCUUUUUGCAUUGCCUUAUACCAUUUUAGAUCAGUUAAAGCUUGCGAAAUUGAAGUAGGUUUUGAUUGUGUGGUAAGAAGUGUUGCAAUGUAGGAUUUAGGCUUAUAGAUACCGGCCUUGGAUCUAAGGAUCAUAUGAUGACCUAUUGUGUGUCAUAGAGGAUUGAGAGGAAAGAUAAGUUGCAGAGAAAGCUCUUAAGGAAGCAUGUAUCAAUAGGGUUGGAACUGUAUGUAGGGAGCUAAAAAGUUUGGCUAAGAAGAUGACUCUGAAGAUGAUUUUAAAGAACUGCAAGAUUGUACAACAGAGGAAGAAUUUGUACUAAUUACAUGAGGAAAAGAGUUUUCAUCAAACACAAUAUAGUUAGACACAUAGACUCUACCACAGGGGUGCAAGCAGUUGUAGCCUUUAUAAAAAGAACUAUAACUAAUGAAGAUAUAUUUUUCAUUCCUGAAAGCAAGUUUAUGUUUAUUAUAUGGCCUAAGAUUAGGUUAACAAGCACAACUAAACACUCUCAAAAUGGAAUAAUUAGGUUUUUGAAGAAUCGGUUUUUGGUAAGGUGAAAUUUUAUUAAGUGUGGGAGCUGGAAGUCUGUUGAUAAGAAAAAAAAAAUGUAUGAAAAGCAUUCCAUUAGAAAUUUAAUAGUAGAUUAGCUUGGGCCAACAAGGUAAGACCAACAUCAAUAAUAUAACGAUGCUUCAUUUUUUUUUCUACCAUUGUGAUGAUGUAUAAAAGGAUAAAGAUGUCUAAAAUGAAUCCUAGAAAUUAGCAAGUAAAGAAGUUAAGCUUCUGAAUUCACCCCUCAAUAUGUUUGAAUUGUUUUGAUGUGUUUAUGAAGAUGUUUUUCAAUGAAAGUUUUGAACUUAGUAAAUACUUAGAGUGCAUCUGACUUGGUAGCUAAUGGAAAGAUCCAAGUAAAACAACUAAAAUAAAAUAGAAUAGAAAGAUAAUAAGAAUAUCCUUGUGUAGAAUUAAUAUGAGAGGGAUCCCAAAGAUCAGCAUACACUAGUUGUAAAGGUUCUGUAGUUUUGGUUGCUACAAAGUUGAAAUGUAGCCUAUGAGUCUUGCCUUGUUGACAAGCAUUGCAAAAUAACAGAUUUUUAUUUUUAUUCAAACCAGUAAAGUCAUUACAAGCCUUUAUUACAUUUUGAAGGGUUUAGGCUGUAGGGUGACCUAAUCUCUUUUGUAGGAGAUUGAUAUCAAGAGAUGCUGCAGUUAUAGAAAGAACAAAUGGUUGACAUGACUUUUGUGAAGACUCUGAUACUUAGCAGCUAUUGUAAUAAGAACCAGGAUAGUAAGUAAACAAAGACACAAAUUCAGUUGAAGGAGAUUGACAGAGCGAGGUUAAGUAAACUUUAGAGAAUAUAUUAGGACUUUGAACUUGUUAUAGGCCACCUUUUGCAACUCUUUAAGUAAGAUGAUCCCUAUGCUCCUGGCCUUGGCAAAAUAGAAAUUUUCAAGAAACUAAAUAGUAACAUUAUUAUCAGUUAUGAGCUUUGAAACACUAAGUAGAUUUUUAGUGAUGUGAGGAAUAUGUAAGACAUGAUUUAGAACUAAUGAUUCAUAUGAAAUGGUGGCAAGUAAUGCAGAUAUAAUAUGUUGAAUAUUUAGAGCAGUGCCAUUUCUAACAAGUAUUGUCUCAUAAUCAACAUAUAUGGUAGACUUAAGAAGCUUACCAGAGUCAUUAGUAAGAGUAUUGGUUGCUCCACUAUUAAUGUACUAAGAAGGAUCCUUAGCUAUUUCUUGAAAAUGAGCAACUGAAAAAGGAGCUUGAAGAGUAUAUGAUGCUGUUGGAGAAGCAUUGCUUGGACCAAAAAAGCUAUGAGAACCAAAAGAAUUACAACUAGCCAUAGGAUAAACACUAGUUGGAAACACAUGAUUGUAGGUAAAGAAGGUAGCAGGAUCUAAAUAAGCCAUUUGCCUUAAUAAACUGACCCUUUUGGCAAAGGAAAACCACCAGCAAAUUAUGGACCAAAACUUCUGCCAUAACCAUUAAAUGGUCCAAUUCCAUCAUUGUGAACAAAAGAACAAAAAAUACCUCUAUUAUAUUAACCCUGAACAGGUCUGAAGCCCCUAUAAGAGCCUCCUAUAAUAUGAUUCCUUUGUGGUGUGAAAGCAUGAUUAUAUCUAUUUUUGCAUUUAUUAGCUCAAUGUCCUAGUGCAAAGUAAAUUUGACAGAUGAUAUCGAAUACACUACCAUUAGCAUUUUGUCCUUGGCCACCUCCAAUAUUAAAAUUUCCAUAACCAAAAUUACUGCCAUUAUACCCAAAAUUCUUUUGAUAACCACCAGUAUUCCUUCUAGAUUUUGAUUUUUUUAAGCAACAUUUGCUAACAUGUUAUGCAUAACAUUACCAGUAACUUUGCCUUUCUUCUGUUCAACUCGAUUCACAUGACUCAACAUUAAAGAGUAAAAUUCAUCAAGACUAAUUUUAUCUCCUCUGGCUAAUACAAUAGUUACCAAGGAUUUAUAAUCUGAUGAAUCUGAUCUAGUUAAUACAUGUUGCACAAAAUCAUUUAAUUCAAUAGUUUUUCCAGAUAAGGUUAAAUUAUUAGCAAGUCUUUUCAUUUUAGCAAAGUAAUCAACCAUUGAUAGAGCACCUUUCCUAAGAGUUUGAAGUUGCAUUUUCAAAGUCAUAAUUGGAGCUUGAGAUUGUGAAACAAACAUACUCAUGAUAGAAUCCUACAGCUCUUUAGAUUUAUUGCAGUGAAUUACUGUGGAGAGCAAAUUUUAUUGAAUUGAAGACAUCAUCUAGCUCAAAAGAAGUUGAUCAAUCUUGAUCCAAGAAGUAAGGCUUGGAUUUACCUCUUUUGGAGCAGAUCCAGAAGAUGAAUUAACGCCAGUAGUAGCAUGAGGAAGAAAUUGAUCCGGACACACAUUAUUGCCAUUGAUAAAGCUCUCCAAACCAUUGCCUUCGAAGAAGUUAGAACUUGUGUGCGUCAUAUAAUGAAAUUGUUUUGAUCAAGUUUCAUUCGUGUUACAAAACUAUAAAAUCAAGCAUUUGUGGUUUUGAUACUAUGGUUGAAUAUGGAAUAUUGAGUGUUUAGAAGGCAAGAAAAUAAAGGAAAAAGGAAAAUAAAAUAGAGAGAAGAAGAAAAAAGAUUAUGAAAUUGUAUAUUCGAUUCAAUAUUAUUCAAUAGAGUACAAUUACAAUAUUUAUACUAGCUGUACUGGCUUUCACAUUUUGUUACAAGCUUAAUAUAUGUGUAUAGUAGAAUCUAACAACUUAACAGAAUAUAACGUAUCAGCAACAUUCUUUAAUCAAGUGUGAGUCACCCCACUGUAACCUUGCUUGCUCUGUAAUAAUAUUUAAUCACAUACAAUAUCAAAAAAGGAGUUUCCGUUACAAUAAAACUAUGUUUGUUCACCUUUAACACGGGUAUUAUUUGGAGGAACAAUGGAACUUGUGGUGAUACAGUGAACAAUAAUGUUAACCCCUUAACAAUGUUCAUGUCCUUCAAAAAUUCAUGUUGUUAUUUUUCUCAUAAUCUUUCAUUCUUUGCAAAAAUCACCGUAUCAGCUAUUUGUCUAGAGAGUUUAAUCAUCGUUGGAUACAACUUGAUGCAAACCCCACAAUGCUUGUCCCCAGAUUAAGAACAAUCCGCUUAUGGUUAAGCUUAUGAUUAUCAAUCAACUUUUAAUAUCCUCUCUGCAAAGAAGCUACACCAUAGCGGAAUCAUAAUCACUGUAAUAUAUCUUAUCCCGCAUGAGUUGAUCGUGGUUUAUGCCUUCUUCUUCUCUUGUUUUUUUAGACUUAUCACUCUCCAUAAGAAUGAACACGGGGAAAUCAAAUUAGCACAAGGAAAACUAUUUAAGUAAAAGACUACUACAAGAUGAAUCCUUAGAAUGCUUUUUUUGUUAGUUCGUUGAUAACAAGAUAAAUAUAAAAAAAUAAAAGAAAUUCAGGCCCAUGUUUCAAAAUGUUCACGUCCUUAAACUUUUCUUAUUUUUUAGGAACUAUCAAGGACUGCUAUGUCAAUAACCAAGUAAAUAUAUCUCUACCAUUAGAAAACUUUUUAAAACUCUUAGGUUAGGUCUAAUGGUUGGAUCAUAAAAAGACAAAUGUAUAGAUACAUUACUCGUUGAGCAAAGUUAUAUAUUUGUUGAUAAUCUGUUUUACAUAUUUUAUUUUUAUUUUUAAAUUUCACCAAUUUAAAUGUUAUGAAUUUAUUAAAAUAAAUGUGGAAGUUCAUAAUAUACAUCUCUUAGUCUCUCCACUACUAACUCUUUGCUUCCCCAUUAUUUCCACUAUCUCACAGGAGUUAUGAUCUAUAAUGUUUCUAUUAAUUUUAUUUAGUACUUUUGUAAUUAUAAAAGGAGAAUUCAUCUCUUUGUUUUGUACACACUUAAAAUGAAUAAAGUCAUUAUAUAAUAUUUCGCUCUCUCAUUUUUCUUACUUCUCCAUCACUAAAAAAAUGUUGUACUUCCGAAAUCUUGUUAUAACUGGAUGCACUUACGAUUACAAGAUUUUAAAUCUAUUAGUCAACAUAAUUAUGCAUAAUUGUAAAUUGUUUCUCAAUUAAAAUUGUGUGGAGUAGAAGUUAUUGAAGUAGAUUUGUUGGAAAAGACAUUCUCUGCUUUCAAUGUUUCAAAUUUACUCCUGUAGCAGCAAUAUCGAGAGCAGAGAUUUAGAAAGUAUUUUAAAUUACUCUCAUGUCUUUUAGUGACUAAAAAAAUAAUAAACUGUUGUUGAAAAAUUAUCAGUCUCAUUCGACUAGAGUACCUCUUCCUAAAGCGAAUGGUACUUUAGCCAAUAAUCAAGGCCGAGAUGGUAAAAAUAAGAAAUAUUGACCAACCCACUUGAAGUGGAAUAACAAUAAUCAGAAGCAGGAAAUAAAUCCACAAAAGAAAUCUUUAAAGGAUUAUGAAAAUGUUUGCUUUAGAUGUGGUAUGAAAGAACACUGGUCUCGUGUUUGUCGUACACCAAAAUAUUUAGCUGAUCUUUAUCAAGCAUAUAAAGAUGCAAAAGGAAAAGAAAUUGAGACAAAUUUCAUUGGUCAUGAAAGUCCAAUUAAUAUAACUCAUUUGGAUGUUUCUGAUUUUUUUGAAGAUCCAAAUGGUAAAAUUGAUCAUUUAAUUGGUGAUGGACAUGUGAAGACUGAAUAAGAAUGCUAUAGUUUGAGGUGUGUUUUUAAAGUUUGGUGUGCUUAAAAUUUAAAAUAGUACUAGUGUGUUUAAAGCUUGGUGUGUUUAAAUUUAUGUUGCAAGAGUGUUAAUUUUCUUUUUUCUUUGAGUAUUUUGUGAGAGUUUAGUGUGUAAACAAAUUUUGAAAUGUUUUCUUUAUACUAUUUAAAUAUUCUUUAUAUUCAAUUAAUUUAUUUUUUAUCCAUAUGUGAAGAUAAAAAUGAAUUUGAACAAUUACUUAGUGAAUAAUGAAGAUGGAUGUUUGGUGGAUAGUGCAACAACGCACACAAUUUUAUGGAAUAAAAAAUAUUUCCUUAAUUUAAUAUUAGGUAAGGCUAAUGUGAAUAUGAUAAUUGGUUAUGUCAAUCUAAUUGAAGGCUCCAGAAGAGCCAAUACUAUCUUACCAAAUGGUAAAAAAUUACAAAUAAAUGAUGCAUCAACUAGAUGGUCACAUGUCUCUUCAUUUUCUAAUUGUGGUGUUGUAUUUGUUAGAUUUCUUGCUCAAAUCAUUAAAUUAAUAGCAUAAUUUCAUAAUUUUCCUAUUAAGAAAAUUAUACUUGAUAACACUGGUGAAUUUACAUCUAAAUUUUUUUAAUGAUUAUUGCAUAUUUAUUCGAGUUGAUGUUGACUUACAUACAAAAUGAUUUAGCUGAAUCUUUGAUUAAGCAUUUACAAUUAAUUGCAAGACCAUUAAUCCUUAGAUAAAAUUUACCUUUUUCAUGUUGGAGGCAUGCAAUACUACAUGCUACAUCAUUAAUUCGCAUUCACCCAAGUUCUUAUUCACCUUUCACAACUUGUUUUUGGCCAACAACCAAAUAUUUUUCAUUUGAAAAUUUUUAGACGUGCUAUUUAUGUCCCAAUUGCUCCCCCACAGAAAUAAAAUGUGUUUGCAACAAAGACUUGGAAUUUAUGUUGGCUUUGAAUCUUUAUCACUAAUAAGGUAUCUUGAACCUUUAAUUGGAAACGUUUUUACUGCAUGAUUCAUGGAUUGCCAUUUUGAUGAGUAAGUUUUCUUGUCGUUAUGGGGAGAAAAGACAAAAAUAAAUGAAUGAUGUGAAAUUACAUGGCAUGCAUCAUCAUUAUCUCAUCUUGAUCCUUGUACAAAUCAAUGUGAACUUGAAGUUCAAAAGAUCAUUCAUUUGUAAAACAUUGCAAAUCAAAUUUCUAUUCGUUUAUUGAUUCAAGAAAAAUAUUAAAAUCACGCAUUGCAUCUAAAAAUGCUCUAACAUGUGUUAAGAUCCCCAAAGGACAACAUGAUAAAACUAAUGAAAGUAAAGCACUUAUGAAAUGUGGAAGAUCAAUUGGCUCAAAAGAUAAAAUUCCCUUAAGAGGAAAACAUAAGAAAAGUUAAAAAAUGAAAUUAGCAAUCCAAAAGAGUCAUUGCCUACUAACAAUAUAACAAAAAUUGGCCUAGAAGAAGAAAAUUUGUGAAUAACUGAAAAGAAUUAGUUUUUAUUAAAGAAACACAAAAUAAUGAAAUUACAAUUAGUUUUGUUGGUACAAAAAAUCUUGGGAUUGAAAUGAAAUUAUUAUUGACGAUAUUUUUUUCAUUUCAUAUUACCCUUAAAUAUCAUGACUGAUGAUAAGGAUCUGUUAGAGUGCAAUUUAUGCACUAGUUUUGCAUUGUUUACUUCCCUUAAUAUCGAUGUUUUGCAUUUAAUAAUAGUGAUUCACUUAUGUUUUAUUUUUGUAGGUGCAAUUCUAUUGAUUGGUGCUAAAAUUGAGCUACAAGAUGAUGUUUGAGGAUGAUUAUUUUCUUGGAGAAAUUAUGAGCGUCAGAAGAAUUUUGUUGAUAAGGCGUGGACGCGUGCUGUCAACUACGGACCUGUAGUUUUUAGUUUAACGUGUUUUGUAUUUUUAGUUAUUUUUGUAAUUACAAAUUUAAUAUUUCAGAUAUUAGUAUUUUAUUUUAAAAAGAAAUCUAGAGGAGAAGAGAGAGGGAGUAUUUAAGGGAGGAAUCUAUUGUGAAAAAUGAGACUUUUUAGAAAGGAAGGAAACCCUACUUCUAAAAUUUUCUCUUCUCUCUUUGAAGAACUAAAUCUAUUAUUCUGGUUGAAGGUUAAUGAAGCUUUGAUUCAUCACUACUGUGAGAUCUUUUUUAUGCUUUAAUUCUUUUAUUACUUUUUGGGUAUUUGUUUAUUCUCUGAAUUAUUUUCAUGAUUAUGUUUGUUAAUUAGAUAACUGGCCACUAUUUAAUUAUCAAUUUAAUCUAUUGUCAAUUAAAGGAUUCAUCGUAUGAAGAUUUUAAUGUUUGUGACAAAUAACAUAGCAGUGAGUUGUGUUAUGAGAAUAAACAAUCUAAUUUAAAUGAACCAUCGUAUGCGUUUGUUGAUUAGGAUUUGGGUCUCUCUGGUUUUUCAGGUUGUCAAUUGAUUAAAUCCUAUGAUCGUAUCUAGGGUUGUCUAUUGAUUAGGGAAAUAACCAACAGUCGUACCUUGGUUAUCGACUAGUUAAAGAGAGAUUGGCUAUUAGAGGGUCUCAGUAGCUAUAACCGGUCUAUUCAUAAGUAGUAAUAAUUUAUAUUUGAAUCAAUGAUCAGUAGUCGAAUCAAGCUGAGUUAAUUCCUUCAACCAGAGCUUUCUCCAAUUUGAAUUACAAUUUUAAUUUUCGUUCUUGUUAUUUUAAUUUGAUUUUUAUUAUUGUCAACAAUUCCCCCAUUUUGCAUUUUAUAUUUUAAAAGGAUUUAAAUAAUUACCGAUCUUUGUGGACACGACCCUGCUCAAUCACUAUACGCAAUUUAUUUAGAGUAGGAAUUUAUUUUUGGUGGCUUCGAUAACCAUCAAAUUUUGGGAUCCAUACCUAAAAACUAUGGAAGAAUGUCAACAUAGAAAUGAUUGGUUAAAGUGGAGCUAUUCAAGCAAAGCUAAAUUCACUUGCAAAACUUAAAGUAUUUGGACCAAUAGUCCUAACACCUAAAGACGUCAAAAAAAAAAGUAUUAGAUAUAAAUGGGUAUUUGUUAGAAAAGAAAUGAGAAAAAAUGAGAUUGUGAGAUAUAAGGUGAGAUUAGUAGCACAAAGUUUUUCUUAAAGGCCUGACAUUGAUUAUGAGGAAACAUAUUCUCCUAAUAUGGAUGCAAUUACAUGUCGAUUUCAAAUUAGUCUGGCAACCUCUGAAGGACUUGAUAUGCACUUGAUAGACGUUGUGACUGCUAUCUAUAUAGUUAUACCGAUAUCGAUAUUUAUGAGAAAAUCCCCGAAGGAUUUAAAAUGCCAUAAACAAACAAAUGUAAACCUUGUAAUUUAUACUCUUUGAAGUUACAAUAAUCCUUGUACGAAUUACAACAAUUCGGCAUAUGUGGUAUAAUCGCCUAAACAAUUAUUUAAUUGAAAGAAUGAUAUGUAAAUAAUCUAAUUUAUCCUUGUGUUUUUAUUAAAAAAAAUUUGAAAUUGGAUUUUCAAUAGUUGCAGUUUAUGUUGAUGAUUUAAUGUUGAAAUUUUUACAAUUUCCAUAAAACAAAUAAACUCUAAUUUGCAUAAACUUUAAUACCUAAAAUCAUAGAAUAUCAUGAUUUUCACAUCAUCAUAAUUGAGAGAAAAUAUACCUUGAUCUAUAGCAAAUUUUCUUAAUCAAAUCUCAUUGCAAAGAAUUAACGAUUAGCAAAAUUGAGUUCUCUCUCUUAACCUCUUUAGAGUAGCUCACUUUUUGAGAGAGAAAAAAUUAACGUGAUAUCCCUUUUUUAUAUUGGGUGGAGAGAGGACCAAUUUUAAUAAAAUCAUAAUUCCCACUUUCCAUCAAAGUGGGCAGUUAGUUUGUUCUCAAUUAACUAAUAGGAUUUCAGCUCCUAACUUAUUUUAUUAUUUAAAUUCUAAAUUAUUACUAAUUUAAUAAUUUGGCACGUGGGCCACUAUAAAAUAUUCAAACAUUCUCCCAUUUGGCCCAUGUGGCACAUUUAAAUUAAUGGUUUAAUAAUAAUAAACGUUAUGAGCAUAAUAAGAGAUAAAUCCUUACUCGCAUUGGUCAAACAUAAAAUCAUCAUUAAACAAAAAUUUAUAUGGAUCAUAGCAAUUCCACAUCAUUAUUUCGACAUAAUUCUUUCUAUGUAUCACAAUAUCAAUUUUAUACUUAACAUGACUUGUAAUGGGAAUGAAAAUAAUAACGGUCCAACAAUAAUAUCUUAGUCAGAGACAAGACUUGUUAACAAUCAUAUCAUCAUUCAUGUAUAUACCAUUAAAUCAAAUAGUAUGUAAAAGAAUCAGAAACAAUAUUUAAAUGAGCUCAGAGUAUCAAAUACAUAAAAAGCAUAAAUGUUUAAACAUAAUGUCAAUAAAGACAUCCAUUAAUACCUAUCAUUUCAACAUGUUCGCUAAAAACCUUUGGAUUUAAUCUUUUUGUUAAAGGAUCUACAAUCAUAAAGUUAGUGCUAAUGUGCUCGAUUGACACUAUUUGUUUAUGAACUUCUUCUUUAAUAACAAGGUACUUCAAUUAUAUGUGUUUAGCACCCUUCAAAUACUUGUCGUUUUUAGAGAAGAAGAUUGAUGUGACAUUAUCACAAUAAAUCUUUAGCGACUUGGCAAUACUAUUGACAAUUCUAAGCCCUGAAAUAAAGUUCCACAGCCAUAAUUCAUGAACAGUGGCCUCAAAGCAAGCCACAAACUCAAAUUCUAUAGUGCAAGUAGCAAUGACGAACUAUUUUGCACUUUUCCAUGAGAUGGCUCCUCCAGCCAUCAUGAACAAAUAGCCAAAUAUGGAUUUUCUGGUAUCCACAUAGCCAGCAUGAUCUAAAUCUGAAUACCUUAUUACUUCGAGAUGAUCAAAUCUCUUAUAAUUGAGCACGUGAUCUAUUGUUCCUUGCAAGUAUCUCAAUACUUUCUUUGCAGCUUUACAGUGAUCCAAUCUAGGAUUACUUUGAUAUCUGCCCAGCAUUUCGACAACAAAAUUGAUGUCUGGCAUGGUACAUGUCUAGGUAUACAUUAAGCUUCCAAUAAUGGAUGCAUAAAGAAUCAUUUCCAUAUGUUUAUGCUCCAAUUCAUUUUUAGGGCAUUGCAUAAGGUUGAACUUAGCAUUGCAUAAGGUUGAACUUAUCUCCUUUCUAAAUUGGAACAACACUUGGAGAGCAUUUUUCCAUUCCGAAUCUCUCUAAAACUUUAUUCAUAUAUGCUUACUGAGACAACCUUAACAAUCUUUGUCUUCUAUCAUGGAAUAUCUCAUUCCAAUCACAUAGGAUGCCUCACUUAUAUAUUUCAUUUCGAAGUUCUUAGAGAGAAACUCCUUGGUCUCAUGAAGUAGACCAAAAUCAUUAGCAGCAAGUAAAAUGUCAUCAACAUACAUAAUCAGACAAAUAAUCUUACUUCCACUGAUCUUGAGAUAUAUGCAUUGAUUAAUGAUAUUUUUCUUAAAUCCAAAUGAAGUGAUAGUAUCAUUGAACUUAAGAUACCAUUGUUGGAAGGCUUAUUUAAGUUCGUAUAUUGAUUUUUUUAAUUUACACGCGAUGUGUUCCUUUUCUUUUGCUAAAAAACAUUUAGGUUGGGCCAUAUAAACAUUUUCCUCUAAAUUUCCAUUUAGAAAGGCAGUUUUCACAUCCAUUUGGUGUAACUCUAAAUUAUAAUGAGCCACCAAUGCCAAAAUAAUUCUAAAAGUCUCAUUCCUAGAGAAUGGUGAAAAGGUCUCUUUAUAGUCAACGCCGUCCUUUUGAGUAAAACCUUUGGCAACAAGUCUAGCCUUGUAUCAUUCCUCGUUGCCAUUUGAAUCACGCUUGGUCUUAUAGACCCAUUUACACCCGAAUCGUUUACAACCAUCAGGUAAUUCAACAAGGUCCCAAACAUCAUUGUGAUCUAUUGAUUUCAACCCUUCUUUUAUGACGUCUAACCAUUUGUUAAAAUUAGCACUGUUUAUGGCGUGAAAACAAAUUUGGAUCUUCAUUAAUUCUCAAGUCAAAUUCUGACUCUUGUAAAUAAACUGCAUAAUCAUUAGAAAUAGCAUAUCUUCUUUGUCUUUGAGAUAUUCGUAAUGCAAUUUCUUGUGGUUCAGUUGCCAUAGGUUCAUUAUUGACGACUUCGUUAUGGGUUACUAGAUUUAUUAUUUCUUUUUCUUGAAAGUCAUUGGUAUGUUCAACAACUGCAUGAACAACACCUUUAAAAGAAGUAAUAGGCAAGGGAGUUUGCACUCUAAUUUCUUGGAUCUCUAACUUUCGUGGUUUCAUACCCUCACUAAUUUCGCCAUUUUCAAUGAACCUAGUAUUUCCAGAUUCAACAAUUCUUGUACUAUAGUUAGGACAAUAAAAUCAGUACUCUUUAGACUUCUUUGGAUAACCAAUGAAAUAUCAACUAGUUGUUCUUGAAUCCAAUUUCCUUUCAUGCAGAUUAUAAAUCUUUACUUCUGCUUGACAACCUUAAACAUGUAGGCGUCUUAAAUUGGGUUUUCUUCAUGCAUAGUAUUCUUCAUGUGUCUUAAAUUGGAUUUUAUAGUUAGGGCAAUAAAAUAUAUACCAUUUAGACUUAUUUGGAUAACCAAUGAAAUAUCCAUUGGUUGUUCUUGAAUCUAAUUUCCUUUCAUGCGGAUUAUAAAUCUUUACUUCUGCCUAACAGCCCUAAACAUGCAGGUGUCUUAAAUUGGAUUUUCUUCAUGUAGAUUAUUCUUCAUGUGUUUUAAAUUGAAUUUUAUAGUUAGGGCAAUAAAAUCUGUACAUUUCAGACUUCUUUGGAUAACCAAUGAAAUAUUCACUGGUUGUUCUUGAGUUCAAUUUCCUUUCAUGCGAUUAUAAAUCUUUACUUCCGCCUGACAACCCUAAACAUGCAGGUGUCUUAAACUGGGUGUUUUUCCUGUCCACAGUUCAAAAGGAGUAUUUGAAACUGCCUUGCUAGGAACCCUGUUUAACAAAUAAGUCGUAGUCUUUAAUGCUUCCAUCCACAGUGAUAAGGGUAAAGACGAGUAACUUAACAUACUCCUAAAUAUAUCCAUUAAGGUACGGUUAUGCCUUUCUACUACACAAUUAUAUUCUGGUGUACCUGGCAUUGUGUAUUGAGUACAUAUGCCGUGUUUUUCAAGGAACUUACCAAAUAGACUAGGGCAUUGUCCACUCUCAGUAUAUCUUCCAUAAUAUUUACCACUUUUAUCAGACCUGAAAAUUUUCACAUUUUUAUUUAGUUGCCUUUUAACCUCAUUAAUAAAUACGUUUAGAGCAUCCACUGAUUAAGAUUUUUCAUACAACAAAUAGAUAUAACCAUAAUGUGAAAAAUCAUCAAUAAAUGUGAUGAAGUACUUUUCUCCACUAAAAUAUGAAACAUCAUAAGGCCUAUAUAUGUCAUGUGUAUAAUCUCAAGAAGUUGUGUACUUCUUGUGGCUCUUUUUUUACUUGUGUAUUUUGUUUGUUUUCUCUUAAUACAAUCCACACAAAUAUCAAGAUAAGUAAAAUCCAAAUUUGGAAGGAUUUUAUUCUUUAUUCAUCUCUCUAUUCUUGCUUUGGAUAUGUGACCCAAACGCUUAUGCCACAAGUAAGCUGAACUUUCAUUUAUUAUACCACAUUUAGUGCCAACAUUAUGAUACAAGGUCAACAGAGACUCAGCAAAAUAUUAUCAAGUUUUAAUUUGUAUAGACCAUCAGAAAGAAUUCCAGAACCAAUAAUAUUAUUGUGUUUAAACAAAAUGAAACAUCUAUUCCAAAUGUAAAAAAAUAUCCAACAAAAUCAAGUUUGGACAAGAAAUUAAAUUAUGAGAAACAUAAGGAACAUAAAGAGUCUGAAAAAGCUCUAAAUGAUGUCCAGUAGCUAAAACUAAACGAUAAGUUCCAUUGCCUUCAAUUGGAGUUUUAACCCGGUUCCCCAUGAAAAUAAACUUCUCAUUUGGGUUUAUAGUUUGAAUCGUAAGAAAUCCCCGUAUUGUGUUUAAAACAUAAGUAGUGCAUCCAGAAUCAAUCCACCAUGUGUUAUAAGGAAGUUCAGCUAAGUUUGAUUAGAAACAUAUUAAGGAACUAGACUUACCUUUCUUUUCGAACCAAGCUUUAUGCUUUAGGUAAUCUUUAGAGAAAUGUCUAUGUUUCUUGCAAAAAUUUCACUUCUCAUUCUUGAUGUCCUUCUUGUGGACUUAGAUGGGUUGCACUUUCAGCUUUGAUGCUUCUUUCUUGCCCUUAUGAUAAUUUUUUCUUUCAGGCUUCUUUUCAGCUCCUUUAUGACCCAUGAGGUUAACUGAGUGAAUUCUGAAAUACAAGUGUGCAACCCAAGAGGGGGGGGGUGAAUUGAUAUUUUAAAAAAAAUCCUAACAAUACCACACAAUAAUCCAAUCUAACGCCUUAAUGAAUUCGAAAGCAAUAAGUUCAAUAAAAACACAAUCACAAAUAAGUAAGAGAGAAGAGGAAUAAACACACGAAUUUUUAUGUGGUUCGGCAAUCCCCGCCUACGUCCAUGCCUCCAAGCGAUCCACGCUUGAGGAUUUCACUAUCCAAGCCUUUUAAGGCUUCAAAUGUUUAGAAUUGACUUCAAGGUGUCAAUGAACCUUUACAACAAAUAGAUUAUCUCCCAAUCUCUUCACUCAAGUGUCUCACACACUCAAACACUCACAACUUUAUGAGGAAAUAAAAAAUUAAAACAAAACUCUCUCAAAGAGUAGAUAUUCAAAAUGAAGAACAAGAGAUGAUUCAAUGUUUUAUGAUUUACGAAUUGAGAGCUCAAGAUAUCUCAUGUGCUUUUUGUUUAUGCUUACUAGAGGGCUUGAAAAUGAAUUGGAUUUGAGUUUAUAUAGUUUGAGCUCAAAAACUAGCCAUUAUGUGUUUUCUGAUGAUAACCGGAUCGCCGCUUUCAGAAUCCGGUUAGCCGCUUUUUUGUUACUGUUACAAUAAAAAUUUAAAUUUCAGAACAUCCGGCAUCCGCUUACGAUAUCCGGAUAGCCGUUUAUGCUCCAGAAGUUUACUGCCCAAAAUUCAGAUUACCGCUUACCAUAUCUGGUUAGCCGCUUGCUACAGUAACUGCUACAGUGAAAUAUUUUUUAAAAUUAUAGUUUGACCCCAAAACUUUAUAAAACUAUAUUAUGGCCCAAAAUGUUAUGAAAGCUUCCAAACAUGUCCAAUUUCAGAAUUUUUAAAUAAUGCUUUGUCAAUCUCAAAACUUUCUGAAAUUUUGAUUUCACCCAAACUAUGUGAAAUUAUAGAAUGACCUAAAAUAUUUAAAUAUUUUCAAAUAGGUCCAAAAGUGAAAUUUUAAAACAAUAUCAAAGGUUUUAAAAUACUUUCAUUUUAGUACAAAACACUUUAAUUCUAUAACAUCAUUUUCUUAUUAUAAAAGCACAAUUCAUAAAUAUUUGUUUAAUCAACACAUGUAGUUUGUUAUCAUCAAAAUCAAUAUUUAUAGUCAUAUAGGCUAACAAUCUCCCCCUUUUUGAUGAUGAAAAAACACAUUAUAAAAAUUUAAGCUAGUUAUGAAAAGCUCCCCCUUAAUUAAUGCAAGGUUAAAAAACUGAUUUGAAAAUUAUUUAAAAGACUCCCCCUGCAUACAUGCAUACUCCCCCUGCAUACAUGCAUAUUUUUAUAACACUUUUUAUAACACAUAUUAGAUUGUUCUCCCAUUCAUCAUAAAAAAGAAUAAAAGUUCCCCCUAUCAUUCAUCAAAGUCGCAAUACAAGCACAUUAGUUCAAAAAUAUCCAUAAGCAUAAGGAAAUCCAUAUAAUCCAAAACAAAUACAUAAUCCAAAAGCAUAAUAACCAUCCAUAUAGUCGAAAAUAAAAGGACAUAAAGCAGUAAAUGAUAUGUAGGCGUGUCCAAAUACAAGCAUAAAACAAAUACAUAAUCCAAAAGCAUGUUCCCCCUAUCAUUCAUCAAAGUCGCAAUACAAGCACAUUAGUUCAAAAAUAUCCAUAAGCAUAAGGAAAUCCAUAUAAUCCAAAACAAAUACAUAAUCCAAAAGCAUAAUAACCAUCCAUAUAGUCGAAAAUAAAAGGACAUAAAGCAGUAAAUGAUAUGUAGGCGUGUCCAAAUACAAGCAUAAGAGACUACUGAGGUAUAUAUAUAUAAUAUGAGUGGCUUCAAAUAAACUCCACUAGCACUUGAACCUUUGUUUAAGAAAAAGACCAGCUGUCCAUGAAUGAGCUCUUGCUGCUGCUGCUGAAACUCAGUCUGCUGCACAGAGAGUGUCCGCACCUCAUCCAUAAGCUACUGAAGAGUAACCUCUUCAGAGGUAGGAGGCUGUGGAGCUGAUGAAGCGAAUACAGAGGCACCAAGAACUGAAGCAAUCACAGGAGGAUCUCGGCGUCUACGCUGCCCCCGAAAUGAGAGUGAGAAAACGGGUAGCUGAUCGGCUGGAACCACAACAUUAAGUGGCCGAUUAUCACUUGGAGUAAGAAAGGUAAACUUGUUUUUAGUGAAUUUGACCGAAGUGCCAUUUUUCACUUAAAGCCUAAGCCAAAUAUAGCGUCAUCCCCGAUACCCUUAGACGAUCUACACGACGGUUCUUGAAUUGGUACAUCAAAAUAUUUAAGGAUUCGUGUAAUGAAGUGACCAUAUGGAAGGGAGCGGGUAAUUAAGGCAAGUAUGGUCAAUAUGGUUCGGAUGAUGGUAUAGCCCAAGUUAACCAGAUGACGUCUAAGAAUACAAUCAAUCAAAGCAACGUCCAUAUGGGAAACCUCAUCCAAAUGUCCUGAUCUAGGAAGAACAAUGGACUGAAUAAAACUAAGCAAAAUACGAGUUUGAAGACAAAGACACUGGGUUCGAAAAUGAAUGGUACAAUCUUCAACAGAAAGAUCAUUACGUCAACAAAUAUUACAAACGACGUCAACAUGAACAUAACUAUCAAGUUUAGGAGAUUUCCUAGGCGAAUAAAUUUCUAGGCCAAAAUUGGAUGAUCUUAUGAUAGAGUUUAACAUGGAAACAUCAAAAUCAAUCAUAACUCCUCUAACAUUGGUGAUUACUCGAGUCUUGUUCUCCGCGGAAACGUCCAUAUUCGAGUAAAACACUUUCACCAAGUCGGGAUAAAGAUUCUCCUCAAUUAUAAGUGCAUCAAUCCAACCAACAUCUCCUAACAAUUGAAAUAAGUUUCUAUGGCUAAUAUUGAUAGUAUUAAUCCAAUCUGGUAAAACAUAAAACGUAUUGAGUACCUCACGAGUCCUGAAGCUUUGUUGAAACCGUUUGACUAAAUGUUUCUUGUUCUGAAAGUGUGUGGAUUCAAAAUUGGAUUGAUUGGAGGUGCCCCCUGCUUGCCGUGACCGGUUGGUUUGUUGAAUAGGUUCUUUGCGUUUUCUUCGAACCGGCUGUGAGCUUGACAUUGCGAUUUUGAUUGAUUUGAAGAGAAAAUGAGCAAAGAGAAGGAAGAUGAUGAGGAUUGAAAGAGAUUUUGAGAAGUAAUUUGGUUAAAAAACGACUUGAGAGGAAGAAUUUUGGAGAGAGAAAAAUUCGUUUGAAACCCUAAGGUAAAUUUCAAAUCUAUUGAAUAUGAUGUUGAAAACAGAUUUUAAAGAAGAUUUCGGACACAAGAAUGGAUGUGGAUUAGGUUUUAUGGAUUAAUUUGCAUAAAAAGCGAGUGGAAAAAAUGGAUUUUAAAGAGAAAACGAGAGAGGAAGAAACGGUCUUUAAAGAGAGAGCACAACUGGUUUGCCGAAAAAGUGAGAGGAAGAAGAACAGUAUUAAAAGGCCUCGAAUCCGGCUUGCUGGAUUUCACUAACCGGCUAACCGGUUAGUGUCCAGAAUCAUGAAAGCCAAAAACGGCCUGCCGGUUGCGUGAUCCGGUUUUCCGGAUAGUUUCCAAAAUGUGUCAAGAACUCAGUGUUAUUGCUUCACGAAUUCGGCUUUCCAGAUUGAAGAACCGGUUAGCCGGUUGUGAGGCAGAACCAUGCAAAUCGUAACCUGUAUUCUGGAUUUGAAGAACCGGUUGUUCGGUUUUAAGGCAGAGUGGAAGCUUAGCAAAUCCAGUUUUCCGAAUUAAAUAAACGGAUGAUCGGUUUUUGUCCAGUGAACUCCAAAACACAUCCAGCUUUCCGGUUUUGUAAAUCCGGUUAUCCGAAAGUUGACCUGAGAGCAAUCAAUAAGAAAACGGUUGGCCGGUUGAAAGGAAGCAAUAUAUCGGUUUAGACUUGAAAAACUUUUUGCCUCUAAUUGAAUUCUGGCAAGCUCUUAUACUUGUACUAUACACAGUAAUUUAUUUUUGGCUUAAAAAUUAAUCAAUUUUAAAUCAUUUUGUGAUUUAAAACUUUUCAAUAAGUCAUUCAAUACAAGAACCAUAAAUGCAUACAAGAACAAAACAUAUUCACUAAGUCAACAAAUCAUAAUUCAAUAUGCAACAUUCAUAAUUCCAAGCUCAUGUCUUAUCUUUAUAAAAUGCUCCUCACUAAAAGGUUUUGUAAAGAUAUUCCGCAAGUUGAUUUUCAGUAGAGACAAAUUUAAUCACAACAUCUCCUUUUUGAACACGAUCUCUUAGAAAAUGAUGCCUAAUUUCUAUAUGCUUAGUCCUAGAAUGUUGAAUUGGAUUUUUGGAUAGAUUAAUAACACUAAUAUUGUCACACAAGAUAGGUAUUUGAUCAAGAUUAAUACCAUAGUCUCUAAGGGUUUGUUUCAUCCUAAGAAUUUGUGCACAACAACUACCUGUGGCAAUAUAUUCUACUUCGAUGGAUGCGGAGACAAUAGAUAAGAAAGAAGAGGAAAGAAGAUGGUCACAAAAGAAAGAAAGCACAAUCGGAAAUAAUACAAGUGCUGUUGCAGAUGUUAGAGCAACCAGUGCUGCAGCAAUUGGGGAAUGACGCGGGAGAAAAUAUAGGCGCGGUCAGCAAUUAAAUCACGAUCUGCAUGUUUCCCAAUUUAAACACAUGCACGCUCAUGGGUUUCGGUUUUAACCUAAUAUUGCAAUAUUUAAAGGAAGCAUACACCACAUAGCAGGCGGCAGAGAAUCAUUAUCAUAAAAAGAAGACAAUUACAAAGGCGAGAAGAAGAAGAAGAUUAAAGAGUGCUGUUCGGCUUCAUCGAAGAAUCGAGAAAGAUCCUUAGACUUUCAUCGUGCUUAAUUCAUAUUAUCUUUCGUCUUUUGAUUGAUUGAAUGUAUUCUGUGAUCAAUAUCAUUAUAUUUAUUUUUCUCAUCCAGAGUAUGAACUAAAUUUAAGUGUAGUUGAGUGACAAAUAAUCCAAUUGGUUCUUGACUGUUCUUAUAUGUUGCUAUGAUAAUGUUGUAGCAUUAUACUCUAAUAGCUUUUAUGAACAUAAUUGUUAUUUCAGUUGACCACCCAUUUAAUGGUUUCAGUUAAGAUAUAGCAACAAAAGGGCAUAUCUUAGCGGAUAUUAUUGGAGUAUUACUUGUUCUUAAAUUGAGUUUCCUGGAUUAGGUUAUCUUAAAUCCCAUAAGGGCAAUACUUGAAUUAAGAUUUGUGAUAUCCUAGACAUAGGUGUUCAUCUUGUAGGGUAGAGAGAUUAAAUGUCAUAAAGCCAUACAUUAAAUUUAUGAGCAACUGGUCAUUGUUAGUAGAUUUGAAAGUAUGAGAUUUCCAACAUGCGAUAUCUGCGGAAGUAUAUUUGUUCUACCCGGUACUGCAGCACUUAUCAUAAACAACUGGUGUUAAUUCGGUAAUCAACAGUCACCCCAUUAGGAGAAUUUGAUCAUUCAACUACUACGUUCUCAAUUGAUUCUUAAACACAAUUAACUUAGUUUAUUUCGUACAAGUAUUAGUUUAUUUCUAUCUCUCAUAAUUAUUGGUUACGGGAGAAUAAUUUGACAAGUGUUUGUUUCGAUCUUUAGUUGAUUUCAUUAUUGUGGUUGCUUUAGCACUUUGAGUAACAUCAAUCCAUGUGGAGACGAUUUUGAAUACUCAUUACUUUAUUACUUGUUGUGUACACUUGCACUUUGGCAUUGAUAAUAAUUGAUUAUAUAAAUCAACCAACAAGUUUUUGGCGCCGUUGCUGGGGAUUGAUUGUUUAUUUCUAAAGUGUAAAGUAAAUUAUGUGGGUAACUUCAAUUGACAACUUCAAAACAACCCAUAUUCAAAUAUUUACAACCCAGGCUGGAAACAACACCCAAAUUUCUCAUGGAGCAAUCAGAAUUGAAAUGCUCCAGCAUUGAAUGGGCUAGGUAAAAACACACAGCCACAACCACCUGGUUUUCAUCAACAAAGCCAAGGGCAAAAACAUGUCAAUCAGGAUCCAAUCACUUCAUUGGAAGUAUUAAUUAAGGAGUACAUUGCAAAGAAUGAAGCAAUUGUGCAGAGUCAAGCUGUAUCCUUGAGAAAUCUUGAAAACCAAAUGGGACAACUAGCUACAACAAUGAGCAGCAGAACUCAAGGAAGCUUACCUAGCAACACAGAAGAUCCUAGGAGAGAGAGCAAAGAACACUGCAAAGUGAUUAGUCUGAGAUCUGGAAAGCAUGUUGAUAUACCAUUUGAGGUAACAAAAAAUAGGAUGGAAUGCAAUUCAGCUCAAAAACCAACUCAAAAGGGAAGUCUGUUACAACAGACUCCCCAUCAAGACACAGAUGCAAGGGAUCCAGCUACAGCAAUUGCAAAAGAAAUUCAACCAGAACUUGCUGAAAAAGAAGUUACAACACCAAUAGCCACAACCUGUACCAACUUAAACAAACAGAGUUUGGUACCUCCUGAAUCUAACCAGUAGUUUAGACAUCCACCACCCUUCCCUUAAAGGUUCUAGAAGCAAAAAUAAGACAAGCAGUUCAGUAAAUUUCUGGAAGUGCUGAAGCAAUUGCACAUAAACAUACCUUUUGUGGAAGCUUUGGAGCAAAUGCAUGUGAAAUUUCUACUGCUGGAGUAAAAUUCUGACAAAAUUAAAAGAUCCAGGGAGUUUUACAAUACCAUAUUCUAUAGGGAAUAGGUAUGCUGGUAGAGCAUUUUGUGAUCUGGGAGCUAGUAUUAAUUUGAUGCCAUUAUCUAUGUUUAAGCAGCUUGGAGUAGGGGAGUGCAGACCAAAAACUGUCACUCUGUAAUUGGCUGACAAAUCUCAUGCAUAUCCUGAAGGAAAGAUAGAGGAUGUACUGGUGAAGGUUGACAAAUUCAUUUUCCCUGUGGAUUUCAUUGUGCUGGACUUUGAAGCUGACAAAGAAGUGCCCAUUAUACUUAGCAGACCCUUUCUAGCAACUGGAAAGACUCUGAUAGAUGUACAGAAAAGAGAGCUGACCAUGAGAGUAAAUGAUCAGCAAGUCACAUUUAAUGUACUAGAGGCUAUGCGAAACCCUGAUGAAAUAGAAGAUUGCAAUUUCCUCAGUGUGGUGGAUCUUGUUAUAGCAGGCAUAGUGGAUAGAUGCUGCAGUGAUGUACUUAAUAAAGUCACCACCUUUGAGGAGGUUGAAGAGGAAGAUGUUGCAGCAAUUUAAACUGAUUGGAUAGACAAACAACAAUAUAAUAGGCACAACAUAGCUAUUGAAUACCUGAAUCUUUUAGACAGGGAAGUAAAAACAACUUUACCAUCUAUUGAAUCACCCCCUAGUCUUGAAUUAAAAAUGUUACCUUCACAUUAAAGUAUGCUUAUCUUGGUCAAAAUAACACACUCCCUGUAAUCAUUUCUUCUACUUUGGAUGCAGGUCAAGAACAAAGCCUAAUGGAUUUGCUGGGAAAAUACAGAAGAGCAAUUGGAUGGACCAUGGUAGAUAUAAAGGGUAUCAGCCCAUCAAUAUGUAUGCAUAAGAUCCUGUUAAAAGACUGUUCCAGUAAUUCGGUGGAGCACCAGAGAAGGCUGAAUCCUAUUAUGAAAGAAGUGGUAAAGAAGGAAAUCAUCAAAUGGUUAGAUGUUGGAAUCAUAUACCCAAUAUUAGAUAGCUCAUGGGUAAGCCCAGUUCAGUGUGUUCUAAAGAAAGGAGGGAUAAUAGUAAUGGUUAAUGAGAAGAAUGAACUCAUUCCUACAAGGACAGUGACUGGAUGGAGAGUGUGUAUGGAUUACAGGAAGCUCAACAAAGCCACAAGGAAAGACCAUUUCCCACUUCCAUUCAUAGAUCAGAUGCUGGACAGACUUGCAGGAAAACAAUACUACUGUUUCUUAGAUGGGUAUUCAGGCUACAACCAGAUUGCUAUAGCACCAGAGGAUCAAGAGAAGACUACAUUUACCUGUCCUUAUAGAACAUUUGUCUUCAAAAGAAUGCCAUUUUGGCUACGUAAUGCUCCAGCAACAUUUCAGAGAUGCAUGAUGUCUAUAUUUUCUGAUAUGGUAGAGCAAACUUUAGAAGUUUUCAUGGAUGAUUUCUCAGUUUUUGGAGAAACAUACAGUAAUUGUUUACACAACUUGGAAGAAGUUCUUAAAAGAUGUGAGAUGACUAACUUAGUACUUAAUUGAGAGAAGUGCCAUUUCAUGGUGCAAGAAGGAAUAAUGUUGGGUCACAAGAUAUCCAAUGAGGGUAUUAAGGUAAACAAAGCCAAGAUAGAGGUAAUAGAUAAACUGCCACCUCCAACUUCAGUAAAGGGGAUUAGGAAUUUUCUAGGUCAUGCUGGAUUCUAUAGAAGAUUCAUUAAGGAUUUUUCCAAAGUUGCCAAGCCUCUAUGUUCAUUGCUGGAGCAUGACAAACCAUUUCACUUUGACAAAGAAUGCCUGCAAGCAUUUGGAAAAUUAAAGAAAGCCCUCAUUACUGCUCCAGUAGUUAUAUCUCCAGAUUGAAAUUUACCAUUUGAAUUGAUGUGUGAUGCUAGUGAUCAUUUUGUGGGAGCAGUAUUAGGGCAAAUGAAGGAUAAGGUUUUUCAUUCCAUAUAUUAUGCAAGCAAAACUUUCACUCCAACACAGAUCAAUUACACCACUACAGAGAAAGAGUUGUUGGCAGUAGUUUUUGCUUUUGACAAAUUCAUAGCUUACUUGGUAGGUACUAAAGUAACUGUUUACACAGACCAUGCCGCCAUCAAAUAUUUAAUUUCAAAGAAGGAUGCCAAACCAAGACUAAUUAGAUGGAUCUUAUUGCUUCAAGAAUUUGAUCUGGAAAUUAAAGAUAGAAAGGGGACUGAGAAUCAAGUGGCAGGCCACUUGUCAAGGUUGGAAGGCAUUACUGAAACUUUUCCUGAUGAACAGCUGUUGGUAGUUCAACAAGCACAGAUGCUGCAGCAGUCAGAAUCUCCUUGGUAUGCAGACUUUGCUAAUUAUCUAGUAAGUGGGUUGCUACCACCUGAGCUGAAGUUUUAAGAGAAAAAGAAGUUUCUUUAUGAUGUUAAGAGCUACCAGUGGGAUGACCCACAUCUAUAUAAGCUAUGCUCAGAUCAAGUAAUAAGAAGAUGUGUUGUAGCAGACGAAAUACCUCAAAUACUAGAGUUUUGUCAUGCUGCAGCAUACGAAGGACAUUUUGGAGAGCACAGAACAGCUGCCAAAAUUAUGCAAUCAGGUUAUUUUUGGCCCACUAUUUUUAAAGACGCUUAUGACUUUGUUAAAGGUUGUGACAGAUGUCAAAGAACAGGGAACAUAACUAGCAGACAUGAGAUGCCAUUGACCAACAUACUGGAAGUGGAAGUUUUUGAUGUUUGGGGAAUAGAUUUUAUGGGUCCCUUUCCCCCUAAGGUGCACAUUUUUGCAAUAAAAUCUUUGUUGCAGCAAUGAUAAAAUAUGGAGUCAGACACAAGGUAGCAACAACUUAUCACCCACAAUCAAAUGGUCAAGCUGAAGUAUCCAAUAGAGAAAUUAAGAAGAUCUUAGAAAAAGUGGUAAACCCAAUAAGGAAGGAUUGGUCUUUACAUUUGCAUGACUCUUUAUAGGCCUAUAGAACAGCAUACAAAACCCCACUCGGCAUGUCUCCUUACCGAAUUGUUUAUGGCAAGGCCUGUCAUUUGCCCCUAGAGCUCGAGCAUAAGGCACACUGGGCACUGAAGAAACUAAAUUGGGAUAUGAAUGCUGCAACAGAACAUAGGAAGCUUCAACUUUGUGAGCUUGAUGAAUUAAGGUUAUUUUCGUAUGAAAAUGCUAGAAUUUAUAAAGAGAAAACAAAACACUGGCAUGACAAGCAUAUUCAACAUAGGCAGUUCACCCCUAGUCAAUUAGUGUUGCUCCACAAUACAAGACUAAAAUUGUUUCCAGGAAAGCUCAAGCCACGAUGGUCUGGCCCGUUUAAGCUGUUAAAAUCUUACCCUUAUGGAGCUGUUGAUCUUGUGGAUGAAGAAACAGGCCACCAAUUCAAGGUUAAUGGACACAGGGUUAAGCAUUACAUACAUCCAGCAGCAGAAGGUUCAAAGGAGGUGUUACUCCUUCAAGAACCCAGCUAUUGAGCAAAGACAAAAGGUCAGGCUGAAGGACCUUAAAUCAAGCGCUUCAUGGGAGGCAACCCAUUGAGGAACCAGCCCCUAUAAACCAAUUUUGAUAUCCUUUGGUUUUAUGGAUAAAUAUUCCUCUUUACUAUUUUCUCUUUAAUAUUUUCGUUAAUUGUGUUUUGCCAUUUUCACCAUUUAUUUUUGUCAUUUUACAUUAUUGCAUUCCUUAUUUUCGAUUUUAUUUAAUCUAUUUAUUUUCAUAAUUUUAGACUUAAUUUAAGUUUGAAAUAAAAGCGGCAACUGAAUCUCAUAUUGACAAGUGCAAGCAUUUGGUGGCAGAACUCAGAGGACAACAACCACGUGUCAGACGCUUUGGUAUGAAUUUUGUACCCGUUGUUGGAAUGAGCAAAGGGGGGGCUGCAGCAACAAUUUUUCCCGUUACAGUAAAUUAAGGGCUGGAGCCUUCACUUACCGUUGGAGAUGAAAUCGUGACAGAUGGACGCUCGGAUAUUGAUAGAAAUUGAGGAAACAAAUCUCCAAAAUCACAGUUUUAAUUUCAAUAACCGAUAAUUUUGGGAUAUGCACAUUUAAUUCAAAUAUUUUAUUCCCUCAAUUAUCUCUAAUUACUUUAGUUAUCUUCACAUUACAAUCCACUAUAAAUAGGAGUCACUGUACUUAGUGUCCACGCCACUCUUCCUCAUCUCUUUCGCAAGUCCAACUCUCCUAACUCUUAAACUUUUCUUCUCUUUUUAUUCUCAGAAACAGUAGCUUCAACCUGUUACUGCUGUAGUAAUGCCGAGAUACAAGAAGACAGCCAGCCGCCUCAAAGAUCCAUCACGAUUCCAGAGUUACCACGCUAAGGAAAAAUACGAAGAAUUCAUAGAGCCACGUCAGAUUCUGGAAGAGAAAGGGUUUCAAUUUCUAGACCAACUCACUGGAAUUGUGAAAACAAUUCAUAUUGCUGCAGCAAAGCGAGGAUGGCUAGAGUUUUGCAAACACCCUCGCAACCCUGUGCUACUGGUGGUAAAAGAAUUUUAUGCCAAUUUGGUAAGCCCUGAUCAGCACAACAUAUGGGUAAGAAAUACUCUGUUCCAUUGGACUCCCGUGUUAUUAAUGCUUUUUAUAACUUACCUGCUGAGAUUACUUGUGAGUAUGCUAAAUUGCGUGAUAAGUUAACCCUGAAAAAGUGGACUACCAUUUUUACAACUCUGACCAUCGAAGGGGCAUCAUGGGUUAACGAGGAAGGGCGUGUGGUUAACAGGAUAGAUUUGAAACCUAUUGCUAAGGUGUGGGUGAAAUUUUUGAAAUCUAGGUUUAUGCCCACCACUCACACUACUACAGUUUCACAAGAAUGAUUAGUUUUGUUAUAUGUCCUUGUUUGAGGGCUGCCCAUAGAUGUGGGUAGCAUCAUUGCAACAGAAAUCCGAGAGUGUGCAGCCAAAACUCACCGAACAGCUGCUUUGUUAUUUCCUUCACUUGUCACCAGCAUUUGUGUAGUUUCAGGUGUUCGUCUUGAAGCCAGCGAUGAGCAUGUCAAAAAUGAUGGUGCCUUUACGGCACGAACAAUUUAAAGAGUUGCUGGCGAGAGUGCUGGAACAACCACUGAACCAACUGCUGUAACAGGAGCACGACGAACUCUUGGCUUAGAAUAGACCAUCCAAGCACUCAGCACCAGUAUCCACCAAUGUGUGGAAGCUCAACAGAGGGAAAAUGGUCGGUUUUGGAGCUAUCUACAACACCUGGAGGGCCAACUACACUAAUUUGCUGAAUACAUGAAACGCAAUCAUCGAAACUUCCCUACUUCCAUGCUCCAGCAAUACAAUUUUGACACCAGUACCACAGGUGCUCCAGCAGAAACCACUGAAGAAGCCACUGCUUCAGAUGAACCAGCAGAGCAAGCUGCAACUGAACCACCAACAGAAGUUGACUCAGAAGAUGCUGCACCAUCUGACCCACCUGAGGAGGAAGGUGACAAAUCUGAGACUGAUAGCUCACCCUCGAGGUAGAGGAUAAUUCAGAGCAAGUAUAUGAAGAACCACCCAUCCCAACCCAGUCCAAAACUAAGAAGCGGCACAUUAUUCCAGACAAGGAAGAGGAAGACCUUGACAUGGAGCCUCUUAUUCCAGUACUUGCAGGUAAAGGAAAGGCCAAUGGUAAAGCUAAAAUGGCAACACCUCCAGCCUCUAAUGAUGAGAUGGAGCAAAUCGAUGUUGAACUGGCUACUGCAGCAUCCAGAGCCAUGCCUACAUCUGAGCAAGCCGAACAACUACCUGAGGUCAUUGCUGCCAUCACAGCUGAGGGCCAGGCAGCUGAUGCAUUGACCCCAAAACCUCCACAACAACCUCCCAGCAAGCCUAUCCGCAGUAGUCCAAGGCAACCCAACAAACGAAAAGGCAGUACAUCUGCGGGUCCUGCUACAGCAACCCCAGCUACAACUCCUCUCACCAGCCCUACAGCGAAAAAGACAAAGACAUUGCCAGCCACCUCCCCAAAAGCUUCACCAAAGGAUAAGCUGCGUAGUGCCUCCAAGAAGCGCUGAGAGCAUCACAUCAUGGGCUGCAGUCCCCACCACAGAGGAGUACUUUUAUCUCAUUAAUUGCCUACCUGUUUGUUCUUAAAAAAAAAUGUUUGUCUAUUUGUGGGUUUUUAUUUUGUUUGCGUGUGAAGACACAACACCUCUCAAGUUUAGGGAGGUUGUUUCCAAAUGCAUGUGUUUUAUAUAUGUGUUGUGUGAAGCUCUAUUAUCUGUUAUUUGCGUAUGGAUUUGAAAACCUAAUGAAGAUAAAUUGAGUGCUAUUUAUGAGAAUGUCAAGUAGAGAUAGUUAUAGAUAGAAGUGAAUUUCUGUCCCAACACUUAACCCGUGAUUGAGUUGUGUGAGACUGCUAGAGCAAAACCAAAAAGAAUAGAAACAAAAGUCUUAAGUGUUGAAGGGAGAAGUGUUGUGCAAAUUUUAAUGUACUCGCAAGCGCACGAAUCUAUUGUAGUAUAGAUCUAUGGUGACGAGUGUCGAUCCCACGAGGAGGUGGAUUUUAAUUGUGUAGAAUUAAUUUUGUAAAUGGGUGAUUGGAUUUAUGGUGGAAAUGAUUUGGAAUAUGCUAAAACUUAAAUUAAAAUGGCGAGAAUAAAUUCUAAAAUUGGAAUUGCAAUGGCGAGAAUAAAUUGAAGAUAAUUCUAUUGAAAUGACGUACUUGGGUAUCUGGAUCCAUAUCAACAUGCAUCAUGGGCUAAAUAUUCCUUAUUAAUGCCAAUUAAAUCAUGAGGGGGGAAUCCACACCUCAUGAACCACGCUCUAAUCAAUAUGGUGCUAAGGGCUUAUCGUGCCAAAUAAUAAUAACCUUAUACUAGAGAGCCGGUAUAACCAAAGCGGUAUCUAGACAAGACUAUUAUUAUUUGUCGACGAGAAGUCAAAACAUCCACAAAAACUAGAGGGGAAAAGAAAAUAAAUUUACCAAAUAAAGCCCACUGCUGUACGGCCAAGGCGGAUGUACGGUACAGCAGNNNNNNNNNNNNNNNNNNNNNNNNNNNNNNNNNNNNNNNNNNNNNNNNNNNNNNNNNNNNNNNNNNNNNNNNNNNNNNNNNNNNNNNNNNNNNNNNNNNNNNNNNNNNNNNNNNNNNNNNNNNNNNNNNNNNNNNNNNNNNNNNNNNNNNNNNNNNNNNNNNNNNNNNNNNNNNNNNNNNNNNNNNNNNNNNNNNNNNNNNNNNNNNNNNNNNNNNNNNNNNNNNNNNNNNNNNNNNNNNNNNNNNNNNNNNNNNNNNNNNNNNNNNNNNNNNNNNNNNNNNNNNNNNNNNNNNNNNNNNNNNNNNNNNNNNNNNNNNNNNNNNNNNNNNNNNNNNNNNNNNNNNNNNNNNNNNNNNNNNNNNNNNNNNNNNNNNNNNNNNNNNNNNNNNNNNNNNNNNNNNNNNNNNNNNNNNNNNNNNNNNNNNNNNNNNNNNNNNNNNNNNNNNNNNNNNNNNNNNNNNNNNNNNNNNNNNNNNNNNNNNNNNNNNNNNNNNNNNNNNNNNNNNNNNNNNNAUGGAGUAAAUCAUGGCCAUCGGAUUAAAAAUAGUUUGGACGCUCAGGAUUGCGCCACGUCAUCAGUCAACAGUCCACGGUUUGACCACGCGGAUGAACAGUAACACGGUUUGACCCGACUUUGAAUAGUAACGCGGUUUGACCCGGAUGAACAGUAAUGCGGUUUGGUUGAAAAUAAUCCUGUGUGAUGCAUGUACCGUACGCGAGAUUUUUCGUCCACUGAUAUGCUGCCACGUCACCAUCAACAGUACAUAAGAAUUUUAGUCCAACAGGAUCGUGACACCUCAUCAGUCAAUGCCACGUCAUCAAUCCGUCUAUGUGAACAGUGCCGUGAACAGUAACGUACACAGUCCUGUGUACGUGAAUAGUACCGUACAUGUGAAUAGUGUCAUUUUUCCUUUUAUGGUCCUCCUAAGGUUUUCGACCGUCCUGAGUUCAAAAGUGAUGUCCGUUUUGCCGUCUGAUCUCUCCUUUAUUGUGAAAUGACUAUAAUGCCCCUAGAAUACAUAAAUUACUUAAUUAAAAUAAAACACACGUAAUUAAAUCAUAAGAAUGUUAAAUACAUAAAAGUAAGGGUUGUUAGUAAGACUUAAAAUGUAAAAUGACGGUUUUCUCCUUUAUAAAUAUGCAUUUUCUAACACUCAACAAGAAGCAUGUUGAUUGACUGUGAUAGUUAUGAAAUAAAACUCUGCUCCAAUAACUUAAGUUGCUGAGUAACUAGAUCUGAGUAUGCACCCCAUAUGCAGAAGUGUGUAAAAAGACAGCGAGAGUUAUGAGCAGUGCUGUAGUAUAUAUAUCUAAAAAAAAAAAGAAAAGAUCUCCACAUAUCUAAGGCAUAUGUCCGCUGUCUAAGGCAUUGAGUAACCAGGUCUGUUCAUGAGCCCCAUGUUCAGCCUUGAGUCAAAGAUAUCUUGAGAUAAAACUAUACCACAGAUAUUGCUGCAGCAACUCUGAUCUGGGCAUUGUUUGAGUAAUUGGGUGUCAUCAUUACAAGUGAUCGACAUUCACAUGAAAAAUAAAUGUUACAGUAAGGAGGUUGAUUAUCCCACAGAGUGUCAAAGUUAAAGCUAUUACAAUUUGAAUAUGUGGAAUUUAUGCUACCCCUUGUAAGAAUGAAGUAUAUCACUGCUGAAAUUUCGGCAGUCCUUUAGUAAUGUUACAGCAUAUCGGGAAUUCAAUCACAAAGGCAGCACACACACACUAAGGAUAGAAAGACGCUUAAGUCUAGAACUGAUCUACUAUGGGCAUUUUGUAUGAUUGGGAUUAUAAUCUGAAGGUGGAAGAAUAUGUGCAAGUUUGAUAAAAGAACUGAAGAUUGUGUGCAUGUUUGUUUGUGGGAAAUGUUGGUAUGUGUCAUUACUUGAGGACAAGCAAUAAUUUAAGUUUGGGGGUGUGAUAACUCUAGGAAAUGAGAGUUAUUACAUCUGUUCUAGACUUGAAUAAAGGGCAUUUAGAGAGUAAAUAAUGUGUUUUGAUUACAUUUUGGUGACCUUAGGCAUAAACAUUCAUUUUAGUUGAGUUGUAACAAGUUUUGCUUGAAUCAUAGUAAUUUAUGCUAAAAACAAGUUUUAAAUUCAUGAAAGGAUGCAGAGACAAUAGAUGAGAAAGAGGAGGAAAGAAGAUGGUCACAAAAGAAAGAAAGCACAAUCGAAAAUAAUACAAGUGUUGUUGCGGAUGUUAGAGCAACCAGUGCUGCAACAAUUGGGGAAUGAUGCGGGGGAAAAUAUAGGUGUGGUCAGCAAUUAAAUCACAAUCUGCAUGUUUCCCAAUUUAAACACAUGCACGCUCAUGGGUUUCGGUUUUAACCUAAUAUUGCAAUAUUUAAAGGAAGCAUACACCACAUAGCAGGCGGCAGAGAAUCAUUAUCAUAAAAAAAAGACAAUUAUAAAGGCGAGAAAAAGAAGAAGAUUAAGGAGUGUUGUUCGGCUUCAUCGAAGAAUCGAGAAAGAUCCUUAGACUUUCAUCGUGCUUAAUUCAUAUUAUUACAAGUGUUAUUGCGGAUGUUAAAGCAACCAGUGCUGCAGCAAUUGGGGAAUGACGCGGGAGAAAAUAUAGGCGCGGUUAGCAAUUAAAUCACGAUCUGCAUGUUUCCCAAUUUAAAAACAUGCACGCUCAUGGGUUUCGGUUUUAACCUAAUAUUGCAAUAUUUAAAGGAAGCAUACACCACAUAGCAGGCGGCAGAGAAUCAUUAUCAUAAAAAAAAGACAAUUACAAAGGCGAGAAGAAGAAGAAGAUUAAGGAGUGUUGUUCGGCUUCAUCGAAGAAUCGAGAAAGAUCCUUAGACUUUCAUCGUGCUUAAUUCAUAUUAUCUUUCAUCUUUUGAUUGAUUGAAUGUAUUCUGUGAUUAGUAUCAUUAUAUUUAUUUUUCUCAUCCAGAGUAUAAACUAAAUUUAAGUGUAGUUGAGUGACAAAUAAUCCAAUGGGUUCUUGACUGUUCUUAUAUGUUGCUAUGAUAAUGUUGUAGUAUUAUACUCUAAUAGCUUUUAUGAACAUAAUUGUUAUUUCGGUUGACCACCCAUUUAAUGGUUUCAGUUAAGAUAGAGUAGCAAAAGGGCAUAUCUUAGCGGAUAUUAUUGAAGUAUUACUUGUUCCUAAGUUUAGUUUCCUGGAUUAGGUUAUCCUAAAUCUCAUAAGGGCAAUACUUGAAUUAAGAUUUGUGAUAUCCUAGACAUAGGUGUUCACCUUGUAGGGUAGAGAGAUUAAAGGUCAUAAAGCCAUACAUUAAAUUUAUGAGCAACUGGUCAUUGUUAGUAGAUUUGAAAGUAUGAGAUUUCCAACAUGCGAUAGUUGUGGAAGCAGAUUUGUUCUACCCAGUGCUGCAACACUUAUCAUAAACAACUGGUGCUAAUUCGGUAAUCAACAGUCACCCCAUUAGGAGAAUUUGAUCAUUCAACUACUACGUUCUCAAUUGAUUCUUAAACACAAUUAACUUAGUUUAUUUCGUACAAGUAUUAGUUUAUUUCUAUCUCUCAUAAUUAUUGGUUACGGGAGAAUAAUUUGACAAGUGUUUGUUUCGAUCUUUAGUUGAUUGCAUUAUUGUGGUUGCUUUAGCACUUUGAGUAACAUCAAUCCCUGUGGAGACGAUUUUGAAUACUUAUUACUUUAUUACUUGUUGUGUACACUUGCACUUUGGCAUUGAUAAUAAUUGAUUAUAUAAAUCACCCAACACCAAUCAAAUAUCGAGAAAUUCGUUUGACAGCAAGCAUGUGUGACUCUUUAGGACAAGAUUGAAAUCUAGCAUAUAAGCAUACACUAAACAUAAUAUCAGGUCUACUAGCAGUCAAAUAGAGUAAGGAUCCGAUCACACCUCGAUAAGUCUUGAUGUGAACUUCCUUAUAUUUCUCAUCUUUGUCCAGCUUGAUGGUAGUACUCAUUGGAGUGCUUUUUGCCGUUUCAUUAUCAUAGCCAAAUCGUUUGAGUAGAUCUUUUACGUACUUGGCUUGGUUUAUGAAAAUUCAUUCCUCGUUUUGUUUGAUUUGGAGUCCAAGGAAUUACUUCAACUUUCCCAUCAUACUCAACUCAAAUUCUUUGCUCAUACAAGAUGAAAAUUCUUUACACAAUAAUUCAUUAGUAGAACUAAAGAUAAUGUCAUCAACAUAGAUUUGAAUAAUAAGUAUAUCUUGGUUCUUAUGCUUAACAAAGAGAGUUGUGUCCGCUUUUCCCAUUGAAAAAUUGUUAUCUAACAUGAAGUUUUUAAGCCUAUCAUACCAUGCUCUAGGUGCUUGUUUUAAUCCAUACAAAACCUUAGAUAAACUUAUACACAUGAUCUGAAAAAUUUUUAUUUUCAAAACCAGGGGGUUAUUUCAGAUACACUUCUUCCAUAAUAUAACCAUUUAAGAAAGCACUCUUGACAUCCAUUUGAUAUAAAAUAAAAUCUUUAUGACAUGCAAAAGCUAAGAGCAUUCUAAUAGAUUCUAGUCUAGCUACAGGUGCAAUCAAUUCCCUCUUCUUGGUUGUAGCUUUGAGCCACUAGUCUAGCUUUAUUUCUUACAACUACACCAGAUUCAUCAAUUUUGUUUCUAAAUACCCAUUUAGUACCUAUGAUGGAUUGAUGUUCCGGGUUAGGAACUAAUUCCCAUACAUUGUUUCUCUCCAAUUGAUUCAAUUCCUCUUGCAUUGCCAUAAUCCAAGAUUCAUCUUUUUCUGCAUCCGCAAAGGAUUUUAGUUCAAUUUGAGAAAUAAAUGCAGCAUGCUCACAUGUGUUCCUAAGAGAUGAUCUAGUUGUAACACCUCGUGAGGGAUCUCCUAAAAUUACAUCCUUAGGGUGAGAAGAAACAUACCUCCACUCCUUGGGGAGUGUUUGAAAAGUACCUUCAUUUUGCUCUGCAUUUGUUUCUUCAUGAUGUUCCUCUUGAAUUCCAUGUGGUGCAUCUUUUUGGUUGUCAUUUGAUGCUUCUUCUUGUUGUUCUUCUUCUGCAUUAUCAUCAACAACGACUUUCUCCGUAGAGGAGGGGUUAGACUCAUCAAAUGUAACAUGCAUAGAUUCUUCCACAACCAAAGUUCUUUUAUUAUAAACUCUAUAAGCUUUGCUUGAGUUUGAAUAACCAAGAAAAAUACCAACAUCAGAUUUUGGAUCAAAUUUACCAAGAUUAUCUUUUGUGUUCAAAACAAAACAUUUGCAUCCAAAGACUUUAAAAUAACCAAUGUUGGGUUUUCUAUCUUUCUAAAGCUCAUAUGGAGUUUUAUUAAGAUUAUGUCUAAUCAACACAUGAUUCAAAACAAGCGGUGUUGACAACUUCGGCCCAAAAAUACUUAGGCAAAGAAUUUUCAUUCAACAUGGUCCUAGCCAUUUCUUGAAUGGACCUAUUCUUUCUCUCUACAACUCCAUUUUGUUGAGGAGUCCUAGGUGAUGAAAAUUGAUGCUCAAUGCCAAAAUCAUUACAAAAGUUCUCAAAACCAUAAUUUUCAAAUUCUCUACCAUGAUCAUUUCCAAUACAAGAAAUAUUACAUCCCUUUUCAUUUUGAACCUUUUUGCAGAAAACUUUAAAAGCAUCAAAGACAUCAUCCUUAUUAGCUAAGAAUAAUACCCAUGUGAAUCUAGAGUAAUCAUCCAUAAUUACAAAAGCAUAAUAUUUGUCAUUUAAACUAGCAUAUCUAGAAGGACCAAAUAAAUUUAUGUGAAGAAGUUGAAGUGGUUUUGAAGUAGAAAUAUGAUUUUUGUUUUUAAAAGAAGUUUUGAUUUGUUUUCCAAAUUAGCAAGCUUCACAAAUUCUAUCUUUUUGAAAACUGAUUUUUGUGCUGUACGGCCAAGGCGGAUGUACGGUACAGCAGAGAUUCCAAAUUAGCAAGCUUCACAAAUUCUAUCUUUUUGAAAACUGAUUUUUGGAAGACCUUUAACCAAAUCAUUUUUCAUGAUUUUUGAAAUCAAAUCCAUGCUUGUACGACCUAAUCUUCUAUGCCACAACCAACCAUCAUCAUGCAAUGCGGAGAAACAUUUAUCAUUUGUAGAUGCACAAUCUAUAUUAAUGGUAUAGACAUUAACACAUCUAUUUCCUACAAACAAACCUUGCCAUCGCAUGCAUUCUCAAUAAUACAUUUUUAUUCAUCAAAGAUAACUCUAUAUCCUUUAUCACGUAGUUGACUAAUGCUAAGCAAGUUGUGCUUUAAGUUUUCAACCAAACAUACAUUUUCAAUGAGAGUAAAGGAUACAUUACUGACAUUACCAAUGCCAAUGAUUCUUCCAUUUGAAUUAUCUGCAAACGAUACAUCUCCACCAUUUUCGAUCUUGGUAAAACUUGAAAAUCAAGAAUAAUUUCCAGUCAUGUGUCUUGAACAACCGUUGUCCAAGUACCACUUAUUCUUCUUCUUCUUCAAGCCCUGUAGAGAAAAUUUUAAGUUUUAGGUACUCAAAUCUUUUCCGUUGUCCAAGUACCACUUAUUCUUCUUCUUCUUCAAGCCCUGUAGAGAAAAUUUUAAGUUUUAGGUACCCAAAUCUUUUUGGGUCCUUGAGAGUUAGCAAUGGUUCCUUUCGGAACCCAAACACAUUUCAUACCAUAAUAUGCAUUUCUCUUCACUUGACAUCGAUUUUUCAUAUGACCAUCUUGAUUAUAAUAAUGACAUACAAUUUGAUUAUUAAUAGACGUAUUCUUCACAAAUAACUUUUGUAAUAUUUUUGUUUCAAAUUUGACUUAUAACCAAUGCCUCUUUUAUCAAAUACAUAGUUUUGUGAGUUUAGCAAGUUAUCCAACAUCUUUUGCCCAUUUGUGAAUUUUAGCACAAUCUCAUUUAGUUCAUUGCUCUUCUUUUUAAGCAUUUCAUUUUCAUUUUUCAAAUCAUUCACAUGUGACUCUAAAUGCUCAUGUGAAGUGCUAGAAUUCUCAAAUAAUACAACUCUAUCAUGUAAUGUUUUAUUCUCUAAUUAUAGGCAUAUAAUCUUUGCAUUAAAUGACUCAUUUUCAUUUUUAAGCUCUAUCAUUUUCUUUUUAAGACAUAUAUUCUUUUUACCAAUCUUUAUCAAUUCAUCAUGCAAAUCCUUAAAGGCAUCAUGUAAUUUAUCAUAUGUAGGAAGAACACUUACCUUAUCAAGUUCAUUACAUGAUUCUUCCCCAAAGGCCAUGAGAGCUAGAUUAGUCAUCUCUUGUUGCUUUUCAUCAUCGCUUGUUUCCUCAUCACUAUUAUCCCACGUGGCCACCAUAGCUUUCUUCUUGAGUUUGUUGAGGAUAGGAUAUUCCAGUCGUAUGUAUCCGGGCUUCUUGCAUUCAUAGCAAAUGAUUGGCUCUUUCUUCUCCUUUUUGUUUUUGUGACUUCUAAACUUUCUCUGCUCGUUAUUCUUCUUGUAGAAUUUUCUGAAUCUUCUAGCCAACAUAGCCAACUCCUCAUCAUCCAUCUCGUUUUCCUCAUCACUCUCACGUUUUGAGGCUUUGAGAGCAAUGUUUUUCUUCUUUUCCUCAUGUCUUUUUUCUGCUGCUAAAUCUUCUUCAUAUGAAAUGAGAGAACCAAUUAAAUCAUCAAUAAGUAAUACAUUUAAAUCUUUGGCUUCCUCAAUGACCGUCUUUUUUGGCCUUCAUUCCUUAGGUAGCGACCUAAUGAUUUUCUUAACUUUCUCGUUAUUAGAAAAAGUUUUUCCUAGGGCUUCUAGAGUGUUCACUAUGUCCGUAAAUCUAGUGUACAUAGAAUAUACACUCUCAUUUUAUUCCAUUUGAAACAAUUCAUAUUGUCGAGUGUACCUACUAAUUUCGACUCUUUCACUUGAUUCAUGCCUUCAUAGACAACUUCAAAUAUGUGUCAAAUUUCAUUAGUACUUUCACAACUAGACACUCUAUGAAACUCUUUCUUAUCAAGAGCACAAAAUAAGGCAUUCAUAGCUUUGGAAUUUAGAGAGGCAUUUCUCUUUUCCAAUUCAUUCCAUUCCCGCGAUGGUUUUGGAAUAUCUUCCCCGACUUCAUUUUUAGUCAAAGGCAUGAAAAGACCAUCAUUAACGAUUUCCCAAAUUUCGUAAUCUAAAACUUGCAAGUAAAUUCUCAUCCCAAUUUUCCAAUACGGUGAUCUUUUCCAUCAAAAUAUGGUGGUCCAGUGGUGGAUUGUCCUUCCCUAAAUGUAGAAUUAUUAUGAGUUGCCAUUGAUCUUUAGCUAUAGACGGUUAAGUCUAAACAAGAGCACCUUUCUCUGAUACCAAAUGAAAUACUGUUAGCCUAUAUGGCUAUAGAUAUUGAUUUUGAUGAUAACAAACCACAUGUAUUGAUUAAGUAAAGAUUUACGAAUUGUGCUUUUAUAAUAAGAAAAUGAUGUUAUGGAAUUAAAGAGUUUUUGAUUAAAAUGAAAGUAUUUUUAAAUCUUUGAUAGGGUUUUAAAUUUCGGAUUUGGACAUAUUUGAAACUAUUUAAAUAUUUUGGGUCAUUCUAUAAUUUCACAUAGUUUGGGUGAAAUCAUAAUUUCAAAAAGUUUUGGGAUUGACAAAGCAUUAUUUAAAAUUCUGAAAUUGGACCUAUUUGAAAGCUUUCAUAACGUUUUGGGCCAUACUACAGUUUUAUAAAGUUUUAGGGACAAACUAUAAAUUUAAAAAGCGGCUAGCCAGAUAUGGUAAACGGCAAACUGGAUUUUGGGCAGUAAGCUUCUGGAGCAUAAACGGCUAUCCGGAUUUCGCAAAGCGGCAAUCCAGAUUUCAAAAGCGGCUUACCGGAUAUGAAAAGCGGCAUGCCGGAUAUUCUAAAAUUUAAAUUUUUGCCUUAACGGUAACAUAAAAGCAGCUUACCGGAUUCCUAAACGGCAAGCUAAUGAUUAUCAAAAUGUGCAUAACGGCUAGUUUUUGAGCUCAAACUAUAUAAACUCAAAUCCAACUCAUUUCAAGCUAACUAGCAAGCAUAAACAAAAAGCACACGAGAUAACUUGAGCUUUCAAUUUGCAAGUCACAAAAUAUUGAAUCAUCUUUUGUUCUUCAUUUUUGAAUAUCUACUCCUUGAGUGAGUUUUAUUGUAACCUUCAUUUCUUCAUCUUAAUUGUAAGAGUUUAAGUGUGUGAGACACUUGAGUAAAGAGAUUGGGAGAUAAUCUCUUUGUUGUAAAGGUUCAUUGACACCUUGAAGUCAAUUGUAAACGGUUGAAGCCUUAGAAAUGCUCGGAUAGUGAAAUCCUCAAGCUUGGAUCGCUUGCAGGCGUGGACGUAGGCGGGGAUUGCCGAACCACGUAAAAAUUCGUGUGUUUGUUUCUCUUCUCCCUUACUCAUUUGUUAUUGUGCUUUUAUUGAACUUAUUACUUUCAAUUUUUAUUAAGAAAUUAGAUUGCUUGUUGUGUGGAUUUGUUAGGAUAAUUCUUAAAAUUCCAAUUCACCCCCCUCUUGGGUUGCACACUUAUAUUUCAUUUGGUAUCAGAGCAAGGUGCUUUUAUUUAGAUUUAACAGUCUAGAGCUAAAGAUCAAUGGCAACUCAAUAUGAUUCCAUAUUUAGGGAAUGACAGUCCACCACUAGACCACCUUACUUUGAUGGAAACGAUUACACGUAUUGGAAAACUAGGAUGAGAAUUUACUUGCAAGCCUUAGAUUAUGAAAUUUGAGAAAUCGUUAAUGAUGGUCCUUUCAUGCCUUUGACUAAAAAUGAAGCCGGGGAAGAUAUUUCAAAACCUUCACGGGAAUGGAAUGAAUUCGAAAAGAGAAAAGCUUUUCUAAAUUCCAAGGCUAUGAAUGCCUUGUUUUGUGCACUAGAUAAGAAAGAGUUUCAUAGAGUGUCUAGUUGCGAAAGUGCUAAUGAAAUUUGGCACAAACUUGAAGUUGCCUAUAAAGGCACGAAUCAAGUGAAAGAAUCUCAAAUAAGUAGGUACACUCGACAAUAUGAAUUAUUUCAAAUGGAACAAAAUGAGAAUGUGUACUCUAUGUAUACUAGAUUUACGAAAAUAGUGAAUACUCUAGGAGCCCUAGGAAAGACCUUUUCAAAUAGCGAGAAAGUUAAGAAAAUCAUUAGGUCGCUACCUAAGGAAUGGAGACAAAAAAUGACUACCAUUGAGGAAGCCAAAGAUUUAAAUGUAUUACCUAUUGAUGAUUUAAUUGGUUCUCUCAUUUCAUAUGAAGAAGAUUUGGCAGUAGAAAAAUGGCAUGAGGAAAAGAAGAAAAACAUUGCUCUCAAGGCUUCAAAACGUGAGAGUGAUGAGGAAAGUGAAAUGGAUGAUGAGGAGUUGCCAAUGUUGGCUAGAAGAUUCAUAAAAUUUUACAAGAAGAAUAAUGAGCAGAGAAAGUUCAGAGGCUACAAGAAUGAGAGGGAGAACAAAGAGCCAAUCACUUGUUAUGAAUGUAAGAAGCCCGGACACAUACGACCGGAAUGUCCUCUUCUCAACAAACUCAAGAAGAAAGCUAUGGUGGCCACAUGGGAUGAUAGCGAUAGGAAACAAGUGAUGAUGAUGAGCAACAAGAAAUGACAAAUUUAGCUCUCAUGGCCUUUGGGAAAGAAUCAUGUGAUGAACUUGAUGAGGUAAGUGUUCUUCCUACAUAUGAUGAAUUACAUGAUGCCUUUAAGGAUUUGCAUGAUGAGUUGAUGAAGAUUGGUAAAAAGAAUAUAUGUCUUAAAAAGAAGAUAUGAAGAUUGGUAAAAAGUGAUGAACUUGAUGAGGUAAGUGUUCUUCCUACAUAUGAUGAAUUACAUGAUGCCUUUAAGGAUUUGCAUGAUGAGUUGAUGAAGAUUGGUAAAAAGAAUAUAUGUCUUAAAAAGAAGAUGAUAGAACUUAAAAAUGAAAAUGAAUCAUUUAGUUCAAAGAUUACAUGCCUAGAAUUAGAAAAUAAAACAUUGCAUGAUAGCAUUGCAUUAUUUGAGAAUUCUAGCACUCCACAUGAGCACUUAGAGUCACACAUGAAUGACUUGAAAAAUGAAAAUGAAAUACUUAGAAAGAAGAGAAAUGAACUAAAUGAAAUUGUUCUAAAAUUCACAAAUGGGCAAAAGAUGUUAGACAACUUGCUAAACUCACAAAAAUGUGUAUUUGACAAAGGAGGCAUUGGUUAUAAACCAAAUUUGAAACAAAAAUUUUAGAAGAGUUAUUUUGUGAAUAAUACAUCUAUUAACAAUGAAGUUGUAUGUCAUUAUUGUAAUCAAGAUGGUCACAUGAAAAAUAGAUGUGCAGUGAAGAGAAAUGCAUGUUAUGGUGUGAAAUGUGUUUGGGUUCCGAAAGGAACCAUUGCUAAUUCUCAAGGACCCAAAAAGGUUUGGGUACCUAAAACUUGAGAUUUUCUCUACAGGGCUUGAAGAAGGAGAAAAAUAAGUGGUACUUGGACAGCGGUUGUUCAAGACACAUGACAGGGAAUUAUUCUUGGUUUUCAAGUUUUACUAAGAUCGAAAAUAGUGGAGAUGUAUCAUUUGGAGAUAAUUCAAAGGAAAAAUCAUUGGCAUUGGAAAUGUUGGUAAUGUAUCCUCUACUCUCAUUAAAAAUGUGUGCUUGGUUGAAAACUUGAAACACAACUUGCUUAGUAUUAGUUAAUUAUGUGAUAAAGGAUAUAGAGUUAUCUUUGAUGAAUCUAAAUGUGUUAUUGAAAAUGCAUGUGAUGGGAAAGUUUUGUUUGUAAGAAAUAGAUGUGUUAAUGUCUAUACUAUUAAUAUAAAUUGGGCAUCGAAAAAUGAUAAAUGUUUCUCCGCAUUGCAUGAUGAUGGUUGGUUGUGGCAUAGAAGAUUAGGUCAUGCAAGCAUAGAUUUGAUUUCAAAAAUCAUGAAAAAUGAUUUGGUUAAAGGUCUUCCAAAAAUCAGUUUUCAAAAAAAUAGAAUUUGUGAAGCUUGCCAAUUUAGAAAACAAAUCAAAACUUCCUUUAAAAGCAAGAAUCAUGUCUCUACUUCAAAACCACUUUAAUUACUUCACAUAAACUUGUUUGGACCUUCUAGAUAUUCUAGUUUAAGUGGCAAAUUUUAUGCAUUUGUAAUUGUAGAUGAUUAUUCUAGAUACACAUGGGUAUUGGUCUUAGCUAAUAAGGAUAAUGCUAUUGAUGCAUUUCAAUUUUUCUAUAAAAAAGUUCAAAAUGAAAAAGGCUAUUUUAUUACUUGUAUUAGAAGCGAUCAUGGUGGAGAAUUUGAAAAUCAUGCAUUUGAAAAUUUUUGUAAUGACUUUGGCAUUGAAUAUCAAUUUUCAUCACCUAGGACUUCACAACAAAAUAGAGUAGUAAAGAGAAAGAAUAGGUCUAUCCAAGAAAUGGCUAGGACCAUGUUGAAUGAAAAUUCUUUGUUUAAGUAUUUUUGGGCCGAAGCCAUCAACACCACUUGUUAUGUUUUGAAUCGUGUAUUGAUUAGACCUAAUCUUAAUAAAACUCCAUAUGAGCUUUGAAAAGAUAGAAAACCCAACAUUGGUUAUUUUAAAGUCUUUGGAUGCAAAUAUUUUGUUUUGAACACAAAAUAUAAUCUUGGUAAAUUUGAUCCAAAAUCUUAUGUUGGUAUUUUUCUUGGUUAUUCAAACUUAAUUAUAAUAAAAGAACUUUGGUUGAAAAGAACUUUGGUUGUGGAAGAAUCUAUGCAUGUUACAUUUGAUGAGUCUAACCCCUCCUCUACGGAGAAAGUCAUUGUUGAUGAUAAUGCAGAAGAAGAACAACAAGAAGAAUCAUCAAAUGACAACCAAAAAGACGCACCACAUGGAAUUCAAGAGGAACAUCAUGAAGAAACAAAUGUAGAGCAAAAUGAAGGUACUUCUCAAACACUCCCCAAGAAGUGGAGGUAUGUUUCCUCUCACCCUAAGGAUGUAAUUUUAGGAGAUCCUUCACGAGGUGUUACCACUAGAUCAUCUCUUAGGAACACAUGUGAGCAUGCUGCACCCUAAGGAUGUAAUUUUAACUCCCCAAGAAGUGGAGGUAUGUUUCCUCUCACCCUAAGGAUGUAAUUUUAGGAGAUCCUUCACGAGGUGUUACCACUAGAUCAUCUCUUAGGAACACAUGUGAGCAUGCUGCAUUUAUCUCUCAAAUUGAACCAAAAUCCUUUGAGGAUGCGGAAAAUAAUGAAUCUUGGAUUAUGGCUAUGCAAGAGGAGUUGAAUCAAUUUGAGAGAAACAAUGUGUGGGAGUUAGUUCCUAAUCCGGAACAUCAAUCCAUUAUAGGUACUAAAUGGGUAUUUAGAAAUAAAAUAGAAACAAUGUGUGGGAAUUAGUUCUUAAUCUAGAACAUCAAUCCAUUAUAGGAACUAAAUGGGUAUUUACAAACAAAAUGGAUGGAUCCGGUGUGGUUGUAAAAAAUAAAGCUAGAUUAGUGGCUCAAGGUUACAACCAAGAAGAAAGAAUUGAUUUUAAUGAAACAUUUGCACCUGUAGCAAGGGUAGAAUCCAUUAGGAUGUUGUUAGCGUAUGCAUAUCAUAAGGAUUUCAUUUUAUAUCAAAUGGAUGUUAAGAGUGCUUUCUUAAAUGGUUAUAUUAUAAAGGAAGUUUAUGUGAAACAACCUCCUGGUUUUGAAAAUGAAAAAUUUUCAGAUCAUGUGUAUAAGUUAUAUAAUGCUUUGUAUGGACUAAAACAAGCACCUAGAGCUUGGUAUGGACUAAAACAAGCACCUAGAGCUUGGUAUGAUAGGCNNNNNNNNNNNNNNNNNNNNNNNNNNNNNNNNNNNNNNNNNNNNNNNNNNNNNNNNNNNNNNNNNNNNNNNNNNNNNNNNNNNNNNNNNNNNNNNNNNNNNNNNNNNNNNNNNNNNNNNNNNNNNNNNNNNNNNNNNNNNNNNNNNNNNNNNNNNNNNNNNNNNNNNNNNNNNNNNNNNNNNNNNNNNNNNNNNNNNNNNNNNNNNNNNNNNNNNNNNNNNNNNNNNNNNNNNNNNNNNNNNNNNNNNNNNNNNNNNNNNNNNNNNNNNNNNNGAGGAAGGAAUUUUCAUAAAUCAAGCCAAGUACGUGAAAGAUCUACUCAAAAGAUUUGGCUAUGAUAAUGGAACAGUAAAAAGCACUCCAAUGAGUACUACCAUCAAGCUGGACAAAGAUGAGAAAGGUAAGGAAGUUGAUAUCAAGACAUAUCGAGGUAUGAUCGGAUCCUUACUCUACUUGACUGCUAGUAGGCCUGAUAUUAUGUUUAGUGUAUGCUUGUGUGCUAGAUUUCAAUCUUGUCCUAAAGAGUCACACAUGCUUGCUAUCAAACGCAUUUUUCGAUAUUUGAUUGGCAUCAUUAAUCUUGGCCUUUGGCAUCCUAGGGGAACUCAUAUUGACUUAACUUGUUAUUCGGAUGCCGAUUUUGCUAGAUAUAAGGUUGAUAGAAAAAGUACUAGUGGAACUUGUCACUUCCUAGGCCAUUCUCUUGUCUCUUGGUUUAGUAAGAAACAAAAUUCGGUGGCGCUUUCAACCAUACUUGAUCAAAUACCUAUCUUGUGUGACAAUACUAGUGCUAUAAAUCUUUCCAAGAAUCCCAUUCAACAUUCUAAAACUAACCAUAUAGAAAUUAGACAUCAUUUCUUUAGAGAUCAUGUUCAAAAAGAAGAUGUUGUAAUUAAAUUUGUUUCUACUGAAAAUCAGCUUGCGGAUAUCUUUACAAAAUCUCUUAGCGAAGAGUAUUUUAUAAAGAUAAGACAUGAGCUUGAAAUGAUGAAUGUUGCAUCUUGACUUAUGUUUUACUACAUGGCUUGAUAUGUUUGUUAUUAUAUGGAUUUAUACUUCAAGAAUUAGAUAGCUUGAUAUGCUUAUAAUUUUAUGAUUUUAUGUUUCAUGCAUUAAAUGACUUAUUGACAAGUUUUAAAUCUCAAAAUGAUUUAAAAUAAAUCAUUUUUAAAAGCCAAAAACAAAAUGGUGUGUGUAAUACAAGUAUAAGAGCUUGCCAAAAUUCAAUUAGAGACAAAAAGUCUUCCAAGUCUAAACCGAUAUUCCACUUCCUCUCAUCCGGAAAACCGCUUUCUUAUUGAUUUCUCUCGGGAAAAAUUCCGGAUAACCGGAUUUAGUAAACCGGUAAGCCGGAUUAACUUUGGUUGCUCUCGGGUUAACUUUCGGAUAACCGGAUUAUCAAUCCAGAAAACCGAAUUUUCUAAGCCUCCUCUCUGCCUCAAAACCAGACAGCCGGUUCUUCAAAUUCGGAAAAUCGAUUACAGGUUGCAUGGUUCUGCCACACAACCGGCUAACCGAAUUCAAGAGGCAACUUUCUGCCUCAAAAUCGGACAACCGGUUAGAUAAACCGGAAAGCCGGAUACGGUUUUUUUUGCUCUCUGCCCCGUAACUGACUAACCGGUUAGUGAAAUCCGAUUAGCCGGAUUUGCAUGAAGACCUUGCUGGAACAUAACCAGAUUUCCGGUUAAAGACAUCCGGUAAGCCGGAUUCGCGGUUAAAAGAGCACUGUUAUUCUUCCUUCUUCAUUUGGCCAAUCGGAUUGCUCUCUCUCUCUCUCAAAGCCGUUUAUUCUUCACUCUAUCUCACUCCAAAAUCCAUCAUCUUCUUACUUUUUCGCAUCAAAUUGAGUCUCGAAAAUCAUUCCCUAUCACUUCAUUUACUCAAAAUCAUCCUCAAACUCCAUUUUCAACAUCUAAAUCUCUAUAUCCCAAAUUUAACCUAGGUUUUCAGCUGAUUUUUCUCUCUCUAGAUUUCUCCCUCCUUAGCCUUUUUUUAUCCAAAUUGUUUCUCAAACUCUCUUUCAAUCUUCAUAAUCUUCAUUCUUUUUGCUCUUUUUAACUUCAAAUCAAUCCAAAUCACAAUGUCAAGCUCUCGGCCGGUUCGAAGAAAAGGCAAAGAACCAGUUCAACCAACCAACAGGUCACGGCAAGCAGGGGCACCUCCAAUCAAUCCAAUUUUGAGUCCAUUCACUUUCAUAAUAAGAAACACUUGAUCAAACGAUUUCAACAAAGCUUCAGCACUCGUGAGGUACUCAAUACGUUUUAUGUUUUACCGGAUGUGAUGCAUACUCUCAAUAUUAGUCAUAGAAAUUUAUUUCAAUUGUUGGGAGAUGUUGGUUGGAUUGAUGCACUUUUGAUUGAGGAGAACUUGUAUCCCGACUUGGUGAAAGUGUUUUACUCGAAUAUGGAAGUUUCUAAGGAGAACAAGACUCGAGUAAUCACUAAUGUUGGAGGAGUUAUGAUUGACUUUGAUGUUUCCUUGUUAAACUCUAUCCUAGGAUCAUCCGAUUUUGGCCUAGAAAUUUUUUCGCCUAGGAAAUCUCCUAAACUUGAUAGUUAUGUUCAUGUUGACACCGUUCGUAAUAUUUGUCAACGUAAUGAUCUUUCUGUUGAGGAUUAUACCAUUCAUUUCUGCACUCAGUGUCUUUGUCUUCAAACUCGCAUUUUGCUUCGCAUUAUUCAGUCCAUUGUACUUCCUAGAUCAGGGCAUUUGGAUGAGGUUUCUCACAUGGACGUUGUUUUGAUUGACUGUAUUUUUAGACGUCGUCUGGUUAACUUGGGCUAUACCAUCAUCCGAACCAUGUUGACCAUACCUGCCUUGAUUACCAGCUCCCUUCCAUAUGGUCACUUCAUUACCUGAAUCCUUAAAUUUUUUGAUGUGCCGAUUCUAGAACCAUCAUGUAGACCGUCUAAGGGUAUUGGGGAUGGUGUUAUCUUCGGCUUAGACUUUGAGUGGAAAAAUGGCACUUGGGUCAAAUACACUGAGAGUAGCUACCUGUUUUCUCACUCUCAUUUCGAGGGUAGCGUCAACGCCGAGAUCCUCCCAUGAUUGCUUCAGCUCCUGGUGCCUCUACAUCCGUUUCAUCACCUCCACAGCCUCCUACCUCUGAAGAGGUUACUCUUCAGCAGCUUAUGGAUGAGGUGCGGACACUCUCUUUGUGGCAGACUGAGUUUCAGCAGCAACAACAGCAGCUCAUUCAUGGACAGCGCCUUCUCUUUGAGCAUUUCGACAUUCCAUAUCCGUAUCCACCUCCAUCACCACCAUCCUCACCACCUCAGUAGUCUCUUAUGCAUGUAUUUGGACACACCUACAUUUCAUUUACUGCAUUAUUUUUUUUUUAUUUUCGACUAUAUGGAUGGUUAUUAUGCUUUUGGAUUAUGUAUUUGUUUUGGAUGAUAUGGAUUUGUUUUGAGUGUUUAUUAUGGAUUAUAUGGAUUUCUUUAUGCUUAUGGGUAUUUUUUCUACUAAUGUGCUUGUGUUGCGACUUUGAUGAUUGAUAGGGGGAGUUUUUAUUCUUUUUGAUGAUGAAGGGGGAGAAUAAUUUAAUAUGUGUUAUAAAAAGUGUUAUGAAAAUAUGCAUAUAUCCAGGGGGAGUAUGCUUGUAUGCAGGGGGAGUCUUGUUCAAUAAUCUUCAAAUCAAUUUUGUUUUAACUUGCAUUGAUUAAGGGGGAGCUUUUCAUACCUAGAUUAAAUUUUUUAUAAUGUGUUUUGUCAUCAUCAAAAGGGGGAGAUUGUUAGCCUAUAUGGCUAUAGAUAUUGAUAAUUAAAGUGUUUUGAACUAAAAUGAAAGUAUUUAAAAACCUUUGAUAUUGUUUUAAAAUUUCAAAUUUGGACAUAUUUGAAAAUAUUUAAAUAUUUUAGGUCAUUCUAUAAUUUCACAUAGUUUGGGUGAAAUCAUAAUUUCAUAAAGUUUUGGGAUUGACAAAGUAUUAUUUAGAAAUUCUGAAAUUGGACCUAUUUGAAAGCUUUCAUAACAUUUUGGGCCAUAAUACAGUUUUAUAAAGUUUUAGGGUCAAACUAUAAUUUUAAAAAUAUUUCAUUGUACCAGUUACUGUAGCAAGCGGCUAACCGGAUAUGGUAAGCGGCAAUCCAGAUUUUGGGCAGUAAGCUUCUGGAGCAUAAACGGCUAUCCGGAUAUUGUAAGCGACAUGCCGGAUGUUAUGAAAUUCAAAUUUUUAUUGUAACGGUAACAUAAAAGCGGCUAACCGGAUUCUGAAAGCGGCAAGCCGGUUAUCAUUAGAAAACACAUAACGGCUAGUUUUUGGGCUCAAACUAUAUAAACUCAAAUCCAAUUCAUUUUCAAGCCCCCUAGCAAGCAUAAACAAAAAGCACACGAGAUAUUUUGAGCUCUCAAUUCGCAAAUCAUAAAACAUUGAAUCAUCUCUUGUUCUUCAUUUUGAAUAUCUACUCUUUGAGAGAGUUUUGUUGUAAUUUUUUAUUUCCUUAUAAAGUUGUGAGUGUUUGAGUGUGUGAGACAAUUGAGUAAAGAGAUUGGGAGAUAAUCUCUUUGUUGUAAAGGUUCAUUGACACCUUGAAGUCAAUUGUAAACGGUUGAAACCUUAGAAAGGCUCGGAUAGUGAAAUCCUCAAGCUUGGAUCGCUUAAAGGCGUGAACGUAGGCGGGGAUUGCCGAACCACGUAAAAAUUCGUGUGUUUGUUUCUCUUCUCCCUUACUCAUUUGUUAUUGUGCUUUUAUUAAACUUAUUACUUUCAAUUUUUAGUAAGAAAUUAGAUUGUUUGUUGUGUGGAUUUACUAGGAUAAUUCUUAAAAUUUCAAUUCACCCCCCCUCUUGGGUUGCACACUUAUAUUUCAAAUACAAAUGUGCAACCCAAGAGAGGGGGUGAAUUGGUAUUUUUUAAAAAAAUCCUAACAAUAUCACACAAUAAUCCAAUCUAACACCUUAAUGAAUUCGAAAGUAAUAAGUUCAAUAAAAACACAAUCACAAGUAAGUAAGAGAGAAGAGAAACAAACACGAAUUUUUACGUGGUUUGGUAAUCCCUGCCUACGUCCACGCCUCUAAGCGAUCUAAGCUUGAGGAUUUCACUAUCCAAGCCUUCCAAGGCUUUAAAUGUUUACAAUUGACUUCAAGGUGUCAAUGAACCUUUACAACAAAGAGAUUAUCUCCCAAUCUCUUUACUCAAUUGUCUCACACACUCAAACACUCACAACUUUAUAAGGAAAUAAAAAAUUACAACAAAACUCUCUCAAAGAGUAGAUAUUCAAAAUGAAGAACAAGAGAUGAUUCAAUGUUUUAUGAUUUGCGAAUUGAGAGCUCAAAAUAUCUCGUGUGCUUUUUGUUUAUGCUUGCUAGGGGGCUUGAAAAUGAAUUGGAUUUGAGUUUAUAUAGUUUGAGCCCAAAAACUAGCCGUUAUGUGUUUUCUAAUGAUAACCGGCUUGCCGCUUUCAGAAUCCGGUUAGCCGCUUUUAUGUUACCGUUACAAUAAAAAUUUGAAUUUCAUAACAUCCGGCAUGUCGCUUACAAUAUCCGGAUAGCCGUUUAUGCUCCAGAAGCUUACUGCCCAAAAUCUGGAUUGCCGCUUACCAUAUCCGGUUAGCCGCUUGCUACAGUAACUGGUACAAUGAAAUAUUUUUAAAAUUAUAGUUUGACCCUAAAACUUUAUAAAACUGUAUUAUGGCCCAAAAUGUUAUGAAAGCUUUCAAAUAGGUCCAAUUUCAGAAUUUCUAAAUAAUACUUUGUCAAUCCCAAAACUUUAUGAAAUUAUGAUUUCACCCAAACUAUGUGAAAUUAUAGAAUGACCUAAAAUAUUUAAAUAUUUUCAAAUAUGUCCAAAUUUGAAAUUUUAAAACAAUAUCAAAGGUUUUUAAAUACUUUCAUUUUAGUUCAAAACACUUUAAUUCCAUAACAUCAUUUUCUUAUUAUAAAAGCACAAUUCAUAAAUCUUUGUUUAAUUAACACAUGUGGUUUGUUAUCAUCAAAAUCAAUAUCUAUAGCCAUAUAGGCUAUCAAAUUCCUUGUGUAACGCCUGUUAUUUGUUUCCUCUUUUACCCUUAUUAAAUUAGGUAGGAUAGUUAUCAUUGAGUGUUUGUAUGUGAGUAAAACUUAUCAAUUUGUUUUAAAUCAAUUACAUAGGUUAUUAGCUUUUAUUUAAAAAAAGAAUUUUCUUAAAACUCAUGUUUUCUUGCGUUCUAUUUUUUUCAAGUAUUUAUUAAUUACCAAAAGUAUUUAAGAGGAAGCCAUCUUUUUAAGAGGAACUCGUCUUUUAUUUUCCACACCGUUACAAACCCGAGAAAAAAAAAGAAAAGAAAGAAACAUAAGUCUUUGGAGAAGGUAAACAUAAGUCUUUGGAGAAGGAAAACAAAGUUUUAUAACUUCUUUGCUUGGUGUUUGCCUUAAAGUAUUAAGUAUUUCUUUGACUUAUAUGAUUUAUUUUUAUUAAUUGUCUGCCUUUAAUUACUUGUAGUAUGAUUUGGGUAAUAUAUGUGUGUUUGUAAUGCUGUGAUGAUAUGAAUAGUCUAUAUUCUUUGCUUCAAAUCGUUUUCUUUAUUUAAAAUCACAUGAAUACGUUUACAAAUCAUGAUACUAGACAUGCUAAGCUUUCCAUUGAUAGGUCUUGUGUUGAAAUCCUCCAAGUAUGAAAAUUGUUAUGAUUUUUUGAAGUUAGGUUAUUGGUGCUGGAAAAUUCUGAUUUUCAGUGGCGGUUCUCACUUCUGGAAAUGUUUCUGUAAGGUUACACAUCUUUAAAAAUUAUGGUGAUUUUUGUAUCCACAUAUCUAUGUCUCAUAUGAUUGCAUGUUUAAUUUCGUAAUUUUUAUUCAUUAUGGUUAAAUUAUUAAAAAUCAUAACAUGCGGCUGCUGUAGAUCUGGAAACUAUUUUCCAGAAUUGCAGAAGCUGAAACAUGUAACAGUUUGGGCUAAUUUAUUGUUGGGAAAAUAUGCUCUUUAAAAGCAUAUAUGUUUAUUUAAUUGUAAUAAAUAUUUUUUUUCUGAUUAAUAAAAUAAAUGAGGUAUUUUAUUCAAAUAUCUUAAUUGCAUUAAUAUUUUGAUUAAAGUCCAUUUAAUCAUAUUAUAUGUAUUUAUAUGAUUACCAUGUGGAUUCACAGAAGACAUAAAUACAAGUUAUCUUAUGAUUAAAUAAAUUUAGUUCACAGUUGAUAAAUAAAGUUGGACACUUUAUUUACGUAUAGACUGUAAUGAAUUCAUUGAAUGAUUUGUCUUAAUCAUGUAUGAAUUUAUUGAUGUAGUACGACUACAUUGAACAUGAUCACAUAUGAGAUUUAAUUAACUUUGUAAUAACUGUCAGACUUAUUAAAUCUCAUAGGCAUUGAUUUUACUGUAAUCUUAAUCUUGAGUUAAUUAUGAUUUCAUGAUUGUAAUUGUUAUUCCAUUUGAGUUACCAAAGGGCACGACACAUCCUUGUGGUCAAGAUUACCCGGUAUCUUGGUGGGAGCAAUUAUGAGUAUUAGAGUUAUGGAUUAACAAUAUAGAAUUUGUACAACACAUCUCUUGAUAGGUUUUCUAUACUUAUAGUCAAGAUUACCCGGUAUCUUAGUGGGAGCAAUUAUGAGUAUUGGAGUUAUAGAUUAACAAUAUAGAAUUUGUAUAACACAUCUCUUGAUGGGUUUUCGGCACUUGAUCAUAGAAUUCUCUUGCCAGAGUGUGUCAACAUAUUUAGUAUGUUGAAAAUGAUCAUUAGAGAAAACUAGUAAGUAUCAAGGAACGAGAUGUAAUUAAAUUGAUUGGAGAGUUGAGGUAUCGAUUUAAUUAAUGAUGUGGUACAAAGAAUUUUACAGUAAAGAAAUCAAUGUGGCUUGGGACAAAUUAUUAUUCGAACAUACAAUUAUGGAGGUCAGUUCCAAUCUUAUAGUGGAGUAGAGUUGGGAUUAAAUGAUUAGGCGUAUUUAAUUACAGGCUUAAUUGUUGUAGCCACUAUUGUAUGUUUCCAAAUGAUCCCCGGUUAGCUCUUUUAAUUGAUUGCACCACUACUGGAUUAAUAAGCAAGAUAACUAGCCAUUUGGGUCAAAAGCCUAAAUGUAUCAUUUAGUGGGAGGCUCCAUUUAAUAUGCUUGUAUGUAAGAGGCUUUAUGUUAUUUUACAAUAUGGGCCCCCUAUAGAAAAAGCAAGUAACAUGACUUUUGAUUUUCAUUAUUUGGAGACUAGGGUUUUCACUAAAGGGAGAUAUAAAAAGGCUUAUUUUCUCUAAAGAAAGAUAUAACAGUCACUUUAUACAGAUCAGAGAAAAAGAUUUUUUCCUCUAAUUUUGAGAGAAAAAAUUUUUCGUGCUAGUUGCUUUAGUGGUGAUAAAGGCACCCACACGUCAAAUGCAGAUCAAAUCUGAGUCAUAAGCUGGAAGAUCAUUGGUGACAGUUCGUGAUCUAACAAGCAUGGUGGUGACGGAUCGUGAUCUGGGAGCCUAAAUCACUUCAACGAAAACAGCCAAAUCGGAUUUUAAAGGUACAAUUUCUAGAUUACAAAUUCUUAGAUAUUGUAUGAGAGCGAUCUUAAAAGGUUUUAUAAAAAAUUUAAAAAAACUAUUUUUUUUCUCCAACAUUUAUAUGCCAUGUGAGGAUUUUAUAAUGAAAUUGCAAUCUUUCCUCUGUCUUUAAAAAUCGGAAUCGCGAUUUUUGGGCAUGUAAAAUAAAAUAUAUGAAUUUUUGAAAUUCUAUCUUCAAAUAUGGAAUUUUCUUGACAGGUUAGAUGUUCUCAGAAAUAAAACACUUUUAAAAUAGUUUCAGGAGUCCAAAAAUUAUAAAUUUUAAUUAUAUGCUUUCUGAAUGUGUUUUCUAUAAUUAGAAAAAAGAAACAGAUUAUUUCGAGUACUAGAAAAUAUUUUAUGAAUUUCCUAAGUGGUAAAGGUUUGUUUUGGUCGAUGCUGGGUAGUUUUGUUACUUUGGUAAAAGGUCAAUAUUCUGACUUGAUUUUCACUUGUGCUGAUUUUUGUGAAAUUUUGUAUGCAAUGCUAUGCAUGUUUACAAUACCUCUAUAAAUUUUCAUGGUUUUCCGACAUGUGUAUAGGUUAUUAAAAAUCAGCAUGUGCAAGAUACUCAUGUUAUGUCUAGAAUAUGUAUAAGUAUUGAGCUAGUAUAAGUGCCUAUGAUUUAAGGAUGAUUGGGAUUAUGUUUAAGGUUGGAGAUAAUAUUGAUAAGGAUAUUUUUAUGAUGAUUAUAGGCGUGGGUGAGCUCAUUGGUUUGUUCUUAAGGUGUUGAGUUGAUUGUUGCGGAUCGAGGUAAGUAUAUUCAUGCUUGAUGUGCUUUAUAAUAAAUGCAAUUUAUGUUAUAAGAAUUAUGUUUAAAUGAAAAUUUUUACAAAACUGAUUUCUAAAAUAUUUAAAUGAAUUUGUAAAAAUGUAUUUUAAAAUGAAUUUUUCUUAAGAAACUAGUUUUCUUAAACAAAAUGUUUUCUUAAAGAAUUUUCUAAAAGAAUUAAAUGAUCAAAGAAAGGUUCUUAAAUCUUUUAGAAGACUUUAAAUGCUAUUUAGGAAAUGAUGUAAGGUGGAUUAAAAAAUGUUUUGGCUCAUAAUCUGUAGUAAUGUACACGAUGCUAAUGUUAUGAUAUUAUGUAAUAUUAUGGUCAGCUUGCUGGUAUAAUGAUGCUCUUGUGCACAAUGAUGUUAUGAACAAUGCGGGGUAUAAUACCUUGAACAAGGAACAAUACGGGGUAUAGUACCCUAAAUGAUGAAUGAUGAUGAUUACGAGGUAUGAGCUAUCAAAUAUUUAUGUUUUAAUAUUUUUACGAAUGUUUUAAUAUUUUUCAUGCUUUUACAUGAAUCAAUCCCUUUUGCUAAAUGAAGAUGUUAUUGUAAGACGAUAUAAAAUGUUUACAGGUAUAAUGACAAAGGUUUUCAAAUAUUGUGCAUGGAUUUGCUUACCGAGUUGACGGCUCACCCCUAAUCUUCAAUAUUUUGUAGAUUAAUUAGAUAUGUGGCUUGGGUACUUAGAUGGAGAUUUUUUUUUUGUGGAUCUUUGGAGUUGCUUUAAAGAUUAAAUUUGGCUAGAGUUUUUAUUUUGGAUCAGACUUUUCUUUAGAGACUUUAUUUCAGAUGUUUUGUGUAAGAAUUUGGUUAAACUAUGAAAAAUGAUUGUCUAUCUUGAGAUUUAUUAAUAAGAAUAAAUGAUGUGAGAUUUCAUUCCAAUUUUACCCUUGCGCUUUCAUGGGUAGAUUUUUGGGGUGUUACAUUCUAUCAUAACCCAACCCAAACCUGAUAAGAUAUUGUCUACUUUGGGCCUUAAUAAGGCCCGCACUGUUUUGUUCAUGGGGCGCUCAUACACCCCAAAAAUGUGUCUUGCCAAUUAAAGUGUGGAUCACCCCUUAUAAACCCUAAGGUGUUACAUACACCCCCCCUUAGAGACUCAGCGUCCUCAUUGAGAUUUGCCCCAUCAUCGCUCAAGAGGACACACUUUUAAUAUGUUCUAAUUUCUAAAUAUAUUCCAUCUAAUAAUAUUAUUCAAAUUCCUUACAGUUCAAUUUUGUUGUAUCAAAGUUAUCUUCAGGGGAUGCUUGAUUGAGUGAUUUUUAAGUAGUUUUAUUCGACUAGUUGUUCAAAUGAGUCCUCAAAGAAAUAAGAACUAAAAAAUUAAUUUAACCUUUUGCCACUCUCCCAAACUUAAAAUAAUAAUAAUAAUAAUUGUACCAAAGUCAAUUGUCCUAUGGAGAUAAAGGGCUUGGUGGUAAAAAUCAGGAGAUUAGGGAGAUGGGGUGGAGGUGGGGAGACCUACCAAUUUCCUAUAUAAUUAAAAAUUUCAUCUCCAAUCCUUACAACUCAUAUUAUAUGAGAUUAUUUAUUAAUAUAUUUACAAUCAGACAAUUACUGGGACAAGAGUUCAUAUUUUUAUCUUCUCAAAUAUUCGAUAGAUAUCUACUUCACUCUCAUUUCGAGAGAGAGAGAAGACUGCUUUUACACAAUUAUCUUCAUAAUUGGGAAGGAAAUUUUAGCGGCUUGAACCGUUGCCCUCACAAGUGUAAGGGCAGCAACUCUUUGGUCGAGUGGCCACCUAAUUUCUUAUUUACUUAUUUUAUAAUAGGUAUGAAUACAUAAUUUUUUUAAAAAAAUAGUGAUUUAAAUAAAAUUAUUACCAUAUUAUAAAGUAUUUAAAUUAUUAAAAAAUUUCAAAAGUUUGAAAUAAUAUCUUAAAAUGAUAUCAAAACUGUAAAAUGUUUGGGUAAAUAAAAACUAAAAGGAUAAAACUGUAUAGUAAUGUUUCAACUCUUUUAUUAUUUGCUUCAUCUUCUCUUUAUUAUAUUCAUAUAUAUCCUAUGAUUGACACUUUAAUCCUACAAUAUCAAAUAAUAAAAUUAAUAAUUAUUACUUCACUACAAAUAUUUUUAAGAAAAUGUUUUAUCAUACGUUAUUUAUAAAACACUUGUAAUAAAGAAUUAUAUUGUAAAAUUUUUUUUUAUAGUUAUAGCCUAUUUAUAUUUGACAAAAAUAAAAAUAAAAAUUUAUUAGUCGACAUCGUAAUUGAUAAAAUAAAAAUUAAAAAAAAUUUACUUAUAGUGGAGAUUGAGGUGGGAGUGGGAUAAAGAGUACAAAAUCAAAUUCCACCCUAUUUAAAAAUUAUUAUUUUUUCACUUUAUUUUUCAUUAAUUAUUCAAAAUUCGCUCUUACGGAUAGGUACCAGGUCGGUUCUGUUUGGUUCAGUAUUGGAAAAAAUUAAAAAUUUUGGUUCAGUGCAGAAUUUUGUAAAAAACCGAAAUAAAUCUAAAUAAAUUAAGAAUCGAACUGGAACCGAUCGACUUGACUUGGUUCGGUUCGGUUGCGAUUUGGUAUUUCAAUUUCGGUUCCUGUUCGGUUUCGGUUCAAAAUAUCGGUUUUUCAUCACCUGUACAAAUUUAACUACUUUGUUUCCUUAGAAAACUAUCAGUACAAAUGCAAAUAUACAAAUUGCAAUCUAUAAUUUCAUCAAUAAUAUUACCAAACCAAAUCAUUCACUACCAUCACAAUCAAUUGAAAAUAAAAAGAGUUGUGACACUCAUUAGCUUUUAACUUCAAAUAAAUGUUAUAGAUUUCUAAAAAGCAUUUAUGAUAUCGAAAAUGAUUAUGCAAGUUAAUUUGACAAAAAGAAAAGAAAAGGAGUACAAGUAGUAAAGAAAAUUGAGGCUGUAUUAUUACUACUUACUCUCUUUCAUUCAUAAAUCAUAAAGAAAGACUUGAGCUGGGAUUUGUUUCUUCUUCAAUCAAAACAAACCCAGCUCCCUGAGCUUCCGCUCUCACCACCACCAUGCGCCUUGGCAGCGGUGGUUGCUAGAUCUUGAAGCUAGAAGGAAGUGGCACUGGCAGCAGUGAAGGUAGCAAUGGGUGCUAGAUCGUGAAGCCAGAAGGAAGCAAAGAGCCAUCAGCAGGCAACAGCAAACCCAAAAAUGAAGCGACGACAAAACCAAAGCCAGAAGGAAGCGGCAGUAACAGCAAAGCCAAAAGGAAGCGGCAGCAAAGCAAAAAGGCAGCGGCAGUAGCAAAGGUUUUGUUAUCAGCAGCCGGCAGCAAUUUGGCAGAUUUUGGGUAAAAAUUAGUCAUAAUCGGCGGUAAUGUGUGUGUGUGUGUGUGUGUAUGUGUGUGUUUGUGUUAAGGAUGGCAAUGGAUCGGAUUGUUUGGUUCAAAAUUGUGUGUGUGUGUGAUUUUUACCAAACAAUUUGGCAGAUUUCUGGUUCAAAAUUGCAGAACUAGAAUUGAACCAAACAAUUGUCCAUGUGAUUCGAAUUUAAUUGGAUCGAAUUUGGAUCGGAUUAAAAUUGAUUUGGAUCGGAUUUGGAUAUCGAUACAUGAAUUUAAGGCGGAUCUAGAGCAAAUUCGAAUUUAUCUUAAUAUUUAGAUCUAAAUUUAUGUCCACUCACCAUUUAAUGUAAUUUUAUUUUAAAAAAUUCUUAACAAUUAUGUAAUUAUAAAUGAUGAUAAAAUUUAUUAAUUAGCAUAUAUUUAAAAAUAUUAAAAUUUAAAGGUACUUAAUUGAUAAUAAGACAAAAAUUUAUUAAGUGUAAAAUAAAAUUAAGAUAGCCUGCUCUCAUUUUUUUAAGUUUUUCACUGUACAAUUUAGUCUCUUUUUUUCUGUUUAGUAUACUCUAACUUCUCCACUUCAUUUGAAUGCUUGAAUAAGUUCUUUAAUUGUUAGGAAAAUCCAUAGAUUUGAGUUUAUUUUCUAUCAUUUUCUCAUAAUCUUAUUUAUUUUGUAUAAUCACUAAUCAAUGGUGGCUAUCAACUAUAAAAUAAUUAUGUUAAUCAUAUAUUUAGUUAAUAUAUGAUCAUAAUAAAAAUAAUAAAGCACUAAAAAUAAUAAAUCAUUUUAAACUUAUAUAUUAUUAUUUAAUAAUAUUAGAAUGAUGAUGGUGUGCAGUGGAUAUCAAAAUGGUAAAGGAGGCAUUAGAAUAUUAUAAUGAUCUUAUUCUUGCAAUUACUUUUGAUCGAUAUUUUAUUAUCUUUCUUAUUUGUAUAUUUUGGUGUAAAAGUAGAAGUUACAAUACUUAUUAGAUUUUUUAUACAAAAUAUAUAAUUUAAUUGUUACCAAUGCAUUUUAGUCUUAAAUUUUCUUUUUAAAAAAAUAUUGAUCUUUUAUUAUUGAGAUUUAGAAUUCAUGAUGGAUCUAGAGCAAAUUUGAAUUUGAAUUUUUCUUUUUGGAUUUGGAGCAGAUAUAGAUCUUUAUUUUUUGUUUCGGAUCUAGAUAUGGAGCGAAAAAUAUAAAUCCAUGACGGAUCUGGAGCAGAUACGAAUCUUAAUUUUUAUUACGGAUCUGGAUAUAGAGCAAUAUAGAUUCAAUCCAUACCUGCUCCAUUGCCAUCCCUAGUUUGUGUGUCUGUCUCUGUGUGUGUAUUAUUUCAAAAUUACCAUUGGAUUUCAGUUUGAUUCUAGUUUUACAAUUUUGUACUGCUGGAUGUGUGUAUUAUUUCAAAAUUUCAAAAUUGCCAUUGGAUUUUGGUUCAAUUCUAGUUCUGCAAUUUUGAACCAGAAACCCAACCGAACUAUUCGGUUCGGUGGCGGAUCAAAGCUAUUCGAUUUUUUUAUUAAAGAAUAUUGAAACUGUAAAAAAUCGAACCGAACUGAUUUUUCGAAUCGAUUUUUUGAGUUUAGGUUCGGUUCUGCCCACCACUUUAUCACUCCACUCGGUCUCAUAGGCCAUUCCCGAUUUUGCCAUGGGGAUUGUUUUUUAUUGGGAAAAUAUCCACCGUCCACCUAAUUUUGUCCACUUUUUCAAAAAUACACAAAUCUUAAUUUUUUUUAUUGUACUCCACCUAAAAUAAGGUUUUCUUGCAUUCAUCCACUUCCGUUUGCACACGGUUAAGAGAACUAACGGAAAAUUGAUCAAAUGACUAUUUUACCCUAAAUAUAAAAUUAUAAUUUUACCCUAAAUAAAUGCAAAAAAAAAAAAGUGGCUGGCCGAAACCUUAUCCCAAACCUUAUCUUCAGGCUCGAGCUGCUGGUGGCACGAUCAUCGAUUGAGAUCAAGCUAUUGGUGGCAAAGAAACUGAAGGAGAUUGGUGAGAGGUUGGGUACGUAGUGAAGAAAGAAAAAGGAAAUAUUGUUGGGCUAGGGAAUCUGGGAAAAUGGUGUUGCCUAUUGAAGUUUCGAUGGAGAUUGCUACUGAAAUGUUUAUGGUGGAGUGAAAGCGGUGGAUAAUAAUGGCUGCGGGGCUUGCUGUCAGAGUUUGAGGAGGGUGAUUGGGAGGAGUUGCAAAUGGUUUUGGGGAUAUUGCUCUUUCUUGGCAUGGUAAUGAUGUGAUGUAAUGUGAAGAAAAUGGAUAAACCAGGUAGCCCAUGAAAUAUGGGUGUGUGAAAAUCAAGCUGUUACCCGGUGGGAGGGUGACAUUAUGGACUUCAAGCAGCACCUGAAGGCGACGGUCUUGGUUUUAACAAGACUAUGCAAGCUAAGAAAACGCGUGAUUUCUUUGGUGGUUGGAGAAUGAGGAUUGCAUUGGCGCGUGCACUCUUUAUUAACCCAACCAUUCUGUUGCUCGAUUAGCCCACAAAUCAUCUAGAUCUAGAAGCUUGCGUUUGGCUGGAAGAGACCUUGAAGAAAUUUGACCGCAUCUUGGUGGUGAUUUCACACUCCUAGGAUUUUCUAAAUGGAGUUUGCACAAACAUCAUUCACAUGCAAAACAAGAAAUUGAAGUUCUAUACCGGUAAUUUUGAUCAGUAUGUUCAGACUCGUUCUGAAUUGGAAGAGAACCAGAUGAAACAAAGAAUUUAAUUGUGCUGAAACAAAGCAUUUUGAGAGGUAGGAAGAAGGGUCAAAUGACAAAUUUAUCCCUAUGACAUCAACGAGAUUUUAACAGCGUGAACACGGGAGUGGGUGAGUGUAAGAAAACCUUACUUUAGGUGGAGUGCAGCCAAAAAAAUUAAGAUUUGUGUAUUUUUUAAAAAGUAGACAAAAUCAGAUGGACGGUGGAUAUUUUUCCUUUUUUUAUUUUCAACCCACCGACCACCUGAUUUUUCGCACUUUAUUAAAAAUACACAAAUUUUUUUUUUUUUUUUUGCAACAAUCUACUUAAAAUUUACAAAGUUAUCAUCGUUCCACUUCCGUCGUAACUUCGUUAGAAUAUUGCUGACAUCAAAGGGUUAAAAUUGUCAUUUGAAGUAAACACACUAAAACGAUGACGGAUUCCUCUUGCAAAAACGGCCACCAACUGCUGGGGCGUUGCUAGUACCCCAAAUGCACAGAUCGAAAAAAAAAAUAGAGAUAAAAACACAAAACAUACUCAAAUCAAAAUUUCAAGAACCCAAAUCAUGUCAUGGAUAAUAUUUGAAGGAUUACUGUCGUUGGGCAUCAUAACAGCAAUGCUAACAAUUGCCGACAAUGCGCAGUAUCACAUCCACAAAGCCGCUCACGGAUGCUCGAAGCACGUCGGCAAUGAUGUGUGGUACGUCGCGAUGGAGAGAAGGGACAAGAAGAUUGUGGAAUAGCUCUUUAAUGCUUCCUCCAAUUAGAUGUUGUCUUGCCUUUCCAGAAGCUUUGCUUAUGAAGAUUCAAGCAGAUGCAAUAUGUUCAUUUUCUUAUCUUUUGUACGUGAAUCUAUUUAAGCCUUUAAAUUGUUUUUUGGAAAAACAAAAACUUUGUCCAAUCAUGAAUUUAGGAAAUUGAUUAAGGCUAAUGAGUUUAGUGAAGAGGGCGCAACAGCGGCUGCAAACAAUCUAGGCGGGGAAGAAGGAGGUGUUCUUCUUAAUAUUUGUUAUCUAAUUUAUUUAUUUUAAGAUUUUUUAUAAUUAUUUAGUUUUAAGAUUUUUUUAUAAUUAUUUAUUUUUAUAUGCAACUUCUAUUAUCAAAUUUAUUUAUUAUUAUUUUUAAGAUUUUUAUUUGAUAGUUAUUUAUUAUUUUUAAGAUUUUUUUAUAAUUACCCCUUUGCAACUAAAAGUUUUUUAUGGAUAAAAUAGUCAUUUGAUGAGUAUUCUAUUAAAUACUCUGACAGUAUUAUAACAUGAGUGGAGUGGUGAUACACCUUAUAAACUUCGGGUGGAUUGUUGCAAAAAAAAAAAGAUUAUGUAUUUUUGAUAAAGUACAAAAAAUCAGGUGAUCGGUGUAUAUUUUUCCUUGUUUUUAAGAAAGUGAAAUGCUGCGUUUAAUUCGUGGUCUCCCAUUUUCUCUCUGCAACGGCAACCGUGUUAUUAAACUCCGAUGACUAUGAGACCAGCAACUGAUUUGGCGACUCGGAUCAGCCAAGCAAUAAUCUCCGCUUCGAAUCGCACAAGGCCAGCACGGAAAUGGACCCCAUUACUGGAACAAACUCUCCACCAACUCGGUCUCCGUGACUCACUGAGUCCAUCGCUUGUGGCCCGAGUCAUCAACCCGUAUCUCUUAACACACCACUCCCUCGCUCUUGGCUUCUUCAACUGGGCCUCCCAACAACCCAACUUCACUCACUCCCCGCUCUCUUAUCACUCAAUCCUCAAAUCUCUUUCUCUUUCCCGCCAAAUCAACGCAAUUGACUCCGUCUUAAAGCAAGUCAAAGUUAAUAAAAUAACUCUAGAUUCUUCAGUUUAUCGGUUUAUAAUUCCUUCACUGAUCCAAGGAAAGAAUACCCAGAAAGCUUUUUCAGUUUUCAAUGAAGUUAAGUUCAACUGUGAAGACAUUGGGCCUGAGAUAUGCAACUCUCUGUUGGCUGUAUUAGCUUCUGAUGGAUACAUUGAUAAUGCUUUGAAGAUGUUCGAUGAAAUGUCUCAUAGAGGUGUCGAGUUCAGUACCAUUGGUUUUGGUGUGUUUAUUUGGAAGUUCUGUGAAAAUGCUAAACUGGGUCAAGUUUUAAGCAUGUUGGACGAGGUUAGAAAGAGAGAGAAUUCAAUGAUUAAUGGGUCGGUAAUUGCGGUUUUGAUAAUUCAUGGGUUUUGCAAGGGUAAAAGAGUAGAAGAGGCUUUUAAGGUAUUAGAUGAGUUGAGGAUAAGAGAGUGUAAACCUGACUUCAUUGCUUAUAGAAUUGUAGCUGAAGAGUUUAAACUAAUGGGAUCUGUGUUUGAAAGAGAAGUAGUCUUGAAGAAGAAAAGAAAGCUAGGGGUUGCUCCAAGAACUAAUGACUAUAGAGAGUUUAUUUUAGGUUUGAUUGUGGAGAGACGAAUAUGUGAAGCAAAAGAACUGGGCGAAGUGAUUGUUAGUGGGAAGUUUACCAUUGAUGAUGAUGUUUUAAAUGCCUUGAUAGGUUCGGUAUCGAGCAUUGAUCCUAGGUCUGCUAUUGUGUUUUUUAAUUUUAUGAUUGAGAAAGGGAGAGUUCCGACAUUAUCGACAUUGAGUAACUUGAGUAAGAAUUUAUGUAAGCGUAACAAGAGUGAUGAAUUGGUAGAGGUUUAUAAGGUUCUGUCUGCUAAUGAUUAUUUCACUGAUAUGGAGAGUUACAAUGUGAUGGUUUCAUUCUUGUGCACUUCAGGGAGACUAAGAGAAGCAUAUGGGGUUAUUCAGGAGAUGAAGAGGAAAGGAUUAGAUCCAGAUGUUUCUUUUUAUAAUUCUCUCAUGGAAGCAUGCUGUAGAGAAGAUUUGCUGCGUCCUGCUAAAAAGUUGUGGGAUCAGAUGUUUGCUAGUGGCUGCAGUGGAAAUCUGAAGACGUACAAUAUACUUAUUAGCAAGUUUUCAGAAGUUGGUGAAAUUGAAGGCGCUUUGAGGCUCUUCCACAAUAUGUUGGAGAAAGGAGUGGCGCCUGAUGCUACAACUUACACAUCCCUUCUUGAAGGGCUUUGUCAAGAAACAAAUCUUCAAGCUGCUUUUGAAGUCUUUAACAAGUCUGUUAAUCAGGAUGUCAUGCUCGCACGUAGCAUUUUGAGCACAUUCAUGAUUUCUCUCUGUAGAAGAGGUAUCAAUUCAACUUUCUCUUAUGUUUUGUUUCCUUAUGAGAAGCUAUUUACAUGCUUCAAUUAAGCUUCAUGCAGGUCAUUUUCUCGUUGCUACUAAGUUGCUCCAUGGUCUCAGUUCUGAUUUAGGACAUUCAGACUCCCAUGUUAUCUUGCUGAAAUCUUUAGCUGAUGCCAGAGAGGUUGAAAUGGCCAUUGAACAUAUAAAAUGGAUUCAGGAGAGCUCACCUACAAUGUUACAAGAAAUUUCUGAAGAAUUAUUUGCAUCACUUUCGUCUUCUUCAUACCCAGAGCCUAUUCUUCUGCUGCUUCAUGCAUUGCAGGAAAAAUGCCUAGAUUCUGAAAUUGGUGCUGGUAAGGGAUGCAGCAGAUCAUAACCUGGGUGGUAGUCGGGUAUCCUAGUGGCAGGAUGAGUAAUGCUCCCAAGUCAGUGACUAUGUUUUAUGUUUUAGUAUCUGGCUCAUUGGUGCAACUAAAAACAGUAACCAAAAUGCAGAUUUUUCUGCAGUGACGGUGUACAAUAUGUGGAAAUUAAGUCUAUUAAUUGUCUUCUCACUUCUAAGGGACUCCUUCCUACACAAGGCUAUUAAUUGUCGUCCUCCUUUACAUGACUGUGACUUCCUACAUUCUGUCUGUUGUUGCACCACCAAUAUUGUGGUAUUGCCCAUAAAAUCUGCUGAAGCUAACACAUCACCUAUCAUUCCCAACUCUCUGAACUCAUUCCAAAAUGUCAGCCCUGACCUGAUUGGUGAUAGAUUGUCAUGAUUCUUUCCCACCAUUGCAAGUUCAUAAUUGUUCUCCAUGGAUUUGAUCUCAGCCACAGCCCCUACACAAUCCACAGCCACCCUCUCUGUAUAUUACACGAUAGUUUCCUUCUUUUAGAUAUGGUAUUAAACAGGACAACUGAGACCAGGCUGUGACUGCUUUGCUCAGAGAAUCUGAAGAUACUGACCAAGUGUUCAAAUAUAGAGGGACUUUGGUCUGUGAAAAGUGAGUUUGCACGUCCGGCAAGCACAAUGAAGUGGAGGAUAUAGAUGGUAAUAGGGCUUUGAUGGGUGGGACUUAAAAAGUAUUGAGGACAUUGAUGGCAAUAGGAAUAUCCUCUUGGUCGUCUAUGCAAAACUAGUAGCCGAGGUGAUGAGUCAGGCUUGGAAUGAAUUACAGGCCUUCUCGUGUAAACUACAUGCCUCCUUGAAGGAUCAUGGAGAUGUCCUAUGAAGGGUGUGAUGGCACCAGUUACAAGCAGCAGCGUGAAAGCGCACAUGAAAAGAGUCGUUAUCUACUGCCAGCAAUAAUAAUAGGAAACCAAGUUUUCAGACUUUUAGAUAAUUGUCAUUCUUCAAUACCUGUAGCCGUCCGUCUAUAUUACAUAAUUACGGUAGCAAGAGAUGGACAAUUAUUCAGAAGUACAAAGAUGAAAAUAUAAUGAAAAUAAGAGCUCCCGAUUUAACGCGUAAGCCCAUGGCGUGACUGCAUAAACCUUCCACCAAGAAUGCUAUAACUAUUAUUAUUGUAUUUUGUACAUUCAGGAUUGAUGCAGUAGAAUCGAAGCUGCUAUCACAACGAAACUGCGGAAGAAACUUACCACGAAGAAGAUAAAGCAGAGUUUAUGAUUAGACGAGCUCAUUGAGGGAGUAAGCUAAUAUUGGGAAGGAGAGCAUGGAUUCUACUUGCGCUAACCUUCAUGAAGACUUAAAAGAACAGCCGAUGUUUGGCAACCAUUGGUACCGCGAAGCAUCUGCUAUUUCGUCCAUUUUCUGAAUUAUCCACGAAUCAAUUUGCAAUCCAAUAUGAAAGAAGUAAAGCAUGAAUCCUAGAGAAGCAGAAAUAUUUAUCUUGGGGGUGGAAACAAGUUUGUACAUUCAGGAAUCUGUCCUAGGAGUGCCCACCCAACCUUGGGUUUACCAAAAACAAAAAAUAAAAGUAAAAAAAAAAUGAAACAAUUAUUUCUUUUAUUAGUAUAUGCAACUCUACAAAAGAAUUUUGAAUUUUCUCUAUCCCAUCUACACAAGCUAGACCUCAUUUACGUUUUACUGUAUACAUUGAGAAUGGCAAGGCAGUGUAGAAAACAAAAUCAGCUACCGCAUCUCCAAACAAAAAAGAAUGCAAAAACAACGAAAAUCUAGAUACUUGAACUAUUCAACUGUACAGAAUCCUUCUAUACAAAGAAUGCAGAAAAUCACAAUGCAAUAUAUGUACAUCUUGUAGCUGGUCAAUCUUCAAGGCGCUGAAUUUCACCCAUCAUGAUCCGGUUGCUAGAAACUUUAAAUCCAAGGAGAGCGGGAUCUAUCUGCCUUCCUUUCUUUCCUUUCUUUUUGCCACCCCGCCCACUUGGUGCACCAUCAGAUGACUCAAAAGCAGCCCCAUUUGAUGGAUCUGCUUCUGGAUGAACUGGUUUCUUAAGCAUGUCUAUGAAUGAUGUCUCCGAGACUGCUGCAUCACUGAAAGAUGAGGUCCUCCUAAAUCGCAGAUCUUUCUUGCCAGUUUCAGAGACUCUGGCUCCUACUGGAUUAUUAACAGAUUCCCGCUUUCCUUCUGAAAGUUACCACAGCCAUAAAUGAACUAAUAGUCCAUAACCAAAAAAAUUAAAAGCAGAGUGACUGAAACACAUUUUAUACCAUCAGAUGCAAGGGAAGCUGAACUUUUCUGCUUGACAAUUGGAGCAGCAGUUGGCUCAUCCUGGGAAGAUGAAGCAACUCUUGUUACAGUUGGGCGUUUGUUCCAAUCAUUGUCAAGCCCUUUGGGUAACAUGGUGGGUAGCCUGUCAACAAAAAAUGACUUCUUUAUCAACAUGGCUAAGGGAGUGAACAGUUGCAAAACAUAGCACUAGCCACUAGCUACUCCAAAAUCACUGAGCAAAACUAUUCCAACAAUAGUGAACAGCAGCUCUUUUUUUUUUUUUUUAAUGAAAAACGGUGAUUUACACAGUACAAAUACAUCCGCCCUGCUGUACCGUACAUCCCCUUGGCCGUACAGCAGAGAAGGAAGCAAAGAGCCAUCAGCAGGCAACAGCAAACCCAAAAAUGAAGCGACGACAAAACCAAAGCCAGAAGGAAGCGGCAGUAACAGCAAAGCCAAAAGGAAGCGGCAGCAAAGCAAAAAGGCAGCGGCAGUAGCAAAGGUUUUGUUAUCAGCAGCCGGCAGCAAUUUGGCAGAUUUUGGGUAAAAAUUAGUCAUAAUCGGCGGUAAUGUGUGUGUGUGUGUGUGUGUAUGUGUGUGUUUGUGUUAAGGAUGGCAAUGGAUCGGAUUGUUUGGUUCAAAAUUGUGUGUGUGUGUGAUUUUUACCAAACAAUUUGGCAGAUUUCUGGUUCAAAAUUGCAGAACUAGAAUUGAACCAAACAAUUGUCCAUGUGAUUCGAAUUUAAUUGGAUCGAAUUUGGAUCGGAUUAAAAUUGAUUUGGAUCGGAUUUGGAUAUCGAUACAUGAAUUUAAGGCGGAUCUAGAGCAAAUUCGAAUUUAUCUUAAUAUUUAGAUCUAAAUUUAUGUCCACUCACCAUUUAAUGUAAUUUUAUUUUAAAAAAUUCUUAACAA
Molecule: long non-coding RNA, 64374 nt
Filed under: Citrus sinensis (sweet orange)
Lineage: Eukaryota; Viridiplantae; Streptophyta; Magnoliopsida; Sapindales; Rutaceae
Description: long non-coding RNA (CSIN_LNC000904)
Source: RNAcentral